AGGGGGGAGGGAGCUCAGUGGAAAAGAAGAAGAAGCGGGGGGGGUUUGAAUAGUCAGUGACUCAGAUGAAUAGUUCCACAGGGGUAUGGUUUAACGAAUUAGUUAUGGGAAAGCCCAGGGGUCUCGAUGCAAACAGGUUUUUCAUUAAACCUUUUAAACAUUAUUUAUUUAAAUGCAAAUAGAGCUGGCAAAAAUUCAUAACUCCAGUUUUAUCCAACCAAAUUUGGUCAAACCAAUUUUGCUAAGUUCUAAAUAAUAUGAACUACUUAGGAAAAAUACCAAACACCCUAAGUACUGCAAGACUUUUUAAAGUUUUGAUUUAAAUAGUAAACUGGCCAAAAGCAAAAUAAAGAAGGGAAAAAUAGCUGCACUGUUAGACUGAGGUCAAGAAAAAUUAGAGAGGUACUUAACCACUAACUAUCUUAUUUAAAAAUAAUAAACCCCUAAGUACACCAGAUUAGGGAGUAGUUUACCAUUAAAACUUGCUUUGAUUCAAACUUAAGGAAAAGGGAGUUUAAAAUAAGAACCAGAGGCCAAUCGCAUUUUUUCUAGCUUACUUUAGAGACAUAAUUCACUAGGAAAUUUUGUCAAGCCCUCUGUUAGUACAAAAGAAAUGCACCGCAUUUUAUUUCAUGAAAACAAUGAAAAUUUAGAAAAAUCCUAGAAAAAUAACCCUAAAGAGAACCCACCCCCACCCCAAUCCUGGGGGUAACUAAUAAUAUGCUAGUAGAAAUCUAAGAAAAAAUAUAAGUUCUGUUGUUUGACAUUUUUCAAAUAACAAGUUAGUUAUAAGUGCAUUUUUGACAUUAAACUUUAGAAACACACAAUUACAUACCUAGUGGGUCUUUUUUGUGAUUUUUAGCACAGAGACCUAUUAUCACCCAUGAAUCUUAGUAAAAAUAAAAUUUAGUUCAGAAACCUCACCUAAAUCAGAGCUAUAGUGCAAAGUGCCCUUUCACCCUUACUUUUGUUAUUUUUGCACAAGGAGUAUCUCAAUUAAUUUCAACCUCAAAUUUUUAGAAUGAAUCACAGAGGUCAAUGUUUACCCACUGUAAUUUUUUUAACAUUUUUGGAAAAUUCUAGAUUGCCAUGAUAGUUCAAAAGCCGUCAAUAAUAAGCAAAAUAGAAAGUAAAAUGAGAAUUUUUGGGAGAAAUUAGUGGUGUGCAAAUUAAAUCUUCCAAGGGCCCAAAGCAAACAUCCAAGGGAUGACUAAAAUUUUAAGGUCAUUCAAGACCCUAAAAUGAGUGUAUGAAACCCUUAACACACCAUUCGCCAAAGGAAACCAUAGUGUACCCACUAUUUUAAUACUGCUUCACCCUACGUAGCAUUUACAACUUGCCAUAUCAUUAAUAUGCAUAUAUCUUAUUCAUUGCAUUCGAUAGAUUGUAAUGUCGCUGAUGGAGAGUACAUCCUCGUUCCAAAGCAAGGAGUUGCUCAGGAGGUAGCCCAGGAGCCAGCACCAGAGCCUGCCAUCGAGGAUCUGCCUGCCCCAGCUUUGGAAGGCAAGCCUCGGUUUUAUGCAUAACCGUUUAUAUAUGCUAUUUUACUACACUUAAUGUUUGUAGGCUUGUACUGUGCACUUAAGUAUAGGAGUUGAUUGAAACCCUAGUUGCAUGAACUCAGGAUUCCUUUUGAGAUGGAUACUAAUAUGCUAGGUCGAGUAGCUUCUUUACUAAUUAGGGAUCUCGGUAGAAGUCGAGUGAUUUUUCUAGCACUCAUGCGAGGUCAUGAAUUGGUUGUAUCCAUUUUGAUAACGGAAUGAUGAUGGUCUGUGGACAUGGAUCCAUGGGGAUGCGUGGUUUACGAGAAGAAAUUGGAAUAAGCAUUAACGUGCAGAUACCUGUGUCAAGCGUUUGAACGUACUAAACACAUGCCAAGAAAUAUGGCAAAUCGGUAAGCCUAGUACCUAAGUGAACCUGCCUGCAGACUUUACCCCUCACGCGACUUGAGACGUGGUCUCCCAUUCCGGUUAUGGUGGGUACAAAUGCGGUCACUGCACGACGGCAGUCAGGGUCAGUGAGGCAUUAUACGCCAAGGCGGUGAGCCCUGUUCUGUUGCCAGGGAAUCGAUGGGGACGAUUGAUGUAACACCCCAGGUGUUACUUAGGGUUUUCACUCAAGGCUACACUAUUGAACCCAUCAUCACAUGUGGUCUAGUUUGAGAAAAAGACACCAAACUUGGGGAUCAAGAUCCUAAGUAGGUGUAACCUAUCUUAGAAGUCAUGCCUUGGCCUUAUCAUGCACUAAAGAGAAGGGAAUGACCCAAACCCUAAUUCAAAUCCCUUAUAGGCAAAUGGAGCCCUAGAGGGGAUUAUGGCAAAAAGUCUAUGUAAAUCACAUUGUCAUGACUUGGACUAAUUAUAAAAGUUGUAGUACACUUAAUACCCUACAAAACAUAGAAAGAGAGUGACCCCAAAAAGGAUUAAGAAAAACCCCAAAAAGGUCACCAAAGAGAAAGACAUAAAAGAAAAAUCAGGUUUUUUCUCAAGUUCAAAACCGACCCUCUUUCAAAGAUCAAACAUGUUCACCUUGUUCCCAAACUCAAAACCUUAUCGCCCAAUUGACAAAAUGGCGCCAAAAGACCCCUAGAAUACCCUGGAAAAGUUUGAACCCAACCCUAAGCCAUUUGACACGACUUGGCAUGGCUUUUGUCUUAGUGUGGACAACUCGGAUAGAGCCAACUUCUCACCCCCAUAUCUCUCUACCCCGACCAUAUCUUUGCUUGGAACUCACAUCGAAAAGGUAGGAUUUGGUGCAGAUAAGAGACCGUACACGGGGGUUUUGCUAAGAUCUGCAUGCUAAGUCAACCAAAUCGGCUGUUGAACCCUGGCAGAAGUAAACCCCCACGUGUUCGACGUGGGCUGACACUCGGGGGCGCGCCCAGAGCACGCCCGCACGCGAACCCCCACGCGCCCUCGGCCGCCCCGUGCCCACACCCGUGCCAUGGCUAUAAAACCCACCCUAGUGCACGGCCAUCUUCCCCGUUGCCUCCUCUGUACCACGCCUAACCCUCCCGAGCUCGCCCGCAGCUCAGGCGACCUCCCCGCGACCCGCUAGAGCCGCCCGAGGGCAACCACCGUGGCCAAACCCUUUCCCGUCCACCUCCGCUUGAUCCGAGCCCUCGGAUAGCUUCCCCAGGAGGCCGUGAAGCCUGCCCGAGCUUGAGUCGAGGACCAGCCCCACCGGAACAGUGUAAUCGCGCUCGCCGGAGUUCGUGAACCCGCCGGAGCACGUGGAUCGGGUAACCCUCUGCACCAUUUCUCAAUUCAUUGCGCGCAUGGCCUCUACAUCACCCCGUGGAGGUCCUCAUGCACUUUAAUUGAACCCUACCGCCGUGGUUUGGCCGGAGCAGGAGCCGCCGACGACCUCCGCCGCCUGCGCUCGUGGCCAGGACAGCUCCGACCACCUCUAACACCGACCCGCACACCGACGUGACCGCCGUGACCUCCCCGACACCACUGACCACCUCGCCGGAGCUCUACUGCCGCCGGUAAGGCUCGCCGCCGUAAUCUUUGCCACGGGUACUGUUUAAGCCAGCCAGGGAGUGCGGGUUAGAUUUAGGCUAAGUCCAGGGGGUUUUGUGCAAGGUCAGUGACUCAUGCAAAUAGUAGACCAAGGGCUGUUCUGUGAGAGAAAAGGGGGAGAAAACCCAGGGACCUCAGCGCAAAUCUGUAUUUCUUUUCCAUUUCGAAUUUACUUUUCUUUUAAAUAUUACAAAGAACUUAAUAAAUGCAUAACUUGAAAAAUAAUCAUCCAAAAUUAGUCAAACCAAUUUUGCCAGACUUUGUGAAAUAUAAACUAUCAGGCAAAAAUGAUAAACCCCAUAGUUCCUGUUUUAUUUUCUAGAGUUUUGAAUUAAAUAAGAAAACUGCCCAAAACUUAAUAUUAGAGGGAAAAAUAGAAAUAUUGUUAGACCAGGGUUAAGAAAAAUAGUGGAGACACUAACCUAGUAGUGACACUAUUUAAAAUUAAUAAACACCCCAGUAUACAAGGUUAAGGAAUGUUUUUUUACUGAAACUUGUUUAUGCUCAAACUUAGGAAAAUUAAAAAGGGGGAUUAAAAAGGGAAACCAGGGGACAACCAUAUUUUUCCUAGCAUGCCUAAGUUAUGUAGUUCACAAGAAAAAUCUAUUGGACCAUAGUCCAGUAAAAGGAAAUUGCACUCACAAUUCUUCAUGAAAACAGAGAAAACUUUGAAAAGUCAUAAGAAAAUAAUCCUAAGGAGAAAACACCCCUACCUUAGGAAUGACUAUUCUUGUGCUAAGAAGAACCUAGGAAAAAUACAAUUUCUGUUGUUUGAUAUUUUUCAAAUAGCAAGUUAGUUAUAAGUGUCUUUUUGGCAUUAAACUUCAGAAAAUCAUAACUAAAUAAUCACUAAGUAACCCUUUAUGAUUUUUUGCACAGAAACAUGUUAUUACCCAUAGAUGCCAGCAAAAAUAACUUUUAGUACAGAUCCCACACCUAGAUCAGAGUUGUAGUGCAAAGUGACCCCUCUGCCCCAACUUUUGUUAUUUUUGUCCAGGGCAUGUUCUGUUUAUUUUUGACCUCAAAUUUAUAGGACAGACUUCAGAGGCCAAUAUUCACCCACUAUAAGUUUUACAGAAUUUUUUGGAAAUUUUGAAAUCACUGUUGUAGUUCAAACCCCCCCCCCUUAAGAGCAUAAAAAGACAAUAAAAAGAAAAAUUAGUAGUGGAGAUUAAUGUUGCCCUAACCAAAACAACAAAACCUUUGAAUACCUAAUAGAACCUUUAAAGGGCAAUCCAAAUCUUAAUCCACUAUGUUUACCUCUAAGCAAAACCUCAGACCUAAAUUGAUAAGCAUAAACCACUAAGAGCUUCUGAUAACAGGGAAACCCUAAGUUAUCAACUAACUUAGAUUUUCUUCACUAAGCAUAAUGGUUACUAAAUCCUGCAUAUCAUAGCAUACAUAUUUCUUAUUCAUUGCAUUCGAUAGAUUGCAACCUCGCUGACGGAGAGUACAUCCUCGUGCCGGAGCAAGGAGUUGCUCAGGAGGUAGCCCAGGAUCCAGCACCAGAACCUGCCAUCGAGGAUCUGCCUGCCCCAGCUUUGGAAGGCAAGCCCCGGUUUUAUGCAAGACCAGUUCUAUAUAUUAUUUUACUGCACUUAAUGUUUGUAGGCUUGUACUGUGCACUUAAGUGUAGGAGUUGACUGAAACCCUAGUUGCAUGAUCUCAGGAUUCCUUUUGAGAUGAAUACUAGUAUGCUAGGUCGAGUAGCUGCUUUAUUAAUUAGGGAUCUCGGUAGAAGUCGAGUGAUUUUCUAGCACUCGCGUGAGGUCAGGAAAUUGGUUGUAUCCACUUUCAUAUCAUAAUGAUGUUGGUCUGUGGACACGGAUCCAUGGGGAUGCGUGGUCUACGAGAUGAAAUUGGAAUAAGGAUUAACGUGCGGAUACCUGUGUCAAGCGUUUGAACGUACUAAGCACAUGCUGAGAAAUAUGGUAAAUCGGUAAGCCUAGUACCUGAUUGAACCUGGCAGUAGACUUUGCCCCUCACGCUACCUGAGACGUGGUCUCCCAUUCCGGUUAUGGUGGGUACAAGUGCGGUCACUGCUCGACGGCAGUCGGGGUCAGUGAGGCAUUGUACGCCAAGGCGGUGAGCCCUGAUCUGCUGACGGGGAAUCGAUGGGGAUGGCCGAAUUAUUACGUGGAAGUGCUAGUGUGGGCCAAUCCACUUUGACUCGUUUUUAUAGUUUACAUACCUUUGUACUACCUCUGCUUACUGCCGUAUUUAUGUUAAUGCACUUUCCAAUGAUACGUAAGCAAGGUAUUUCGGGUCCGUUAUAGGGAAGGCAUAGCAUAGAGAAUUCUAAUUCUCAUAUAUCAUAUCGGGUAGGUUGUGGUAUUUCAUUGCUACAAACAUGGGUUAUUGUAAAAUAAGACAUGUCAUUUGGAUACUUCUCUUCAACUUCGAAGUAUUUUUAUACAAAUAGUUGAAGUGAAUUUUACGAAAGAAAAUAAGGCGGAUUAUGGGAGUGUGUGACUUGAAUUAUUAAUUUGGCCAUGCAGAUAGAGAAUUGGAUCUGCCACAUUAGAAUUCACGACCAAAGGUGUCUCCGCAUCCAAUCAACACGAUGUGUGUGGGUACGGAGUGCCUCGCCACGUCGUGUGUUUAGGUUUACCUUGCAAGGAUAAAAACUCAAUUCGAAUCGUCUGCUUCUCGCAGCUAAUGAGACUGCUUGAUCCAUUGUACUGCAUUGAUAACAAGUGGAAAUGUGAUGCUAUGGCAAAAGAUGUUGAUUGCUAAAUGUUUGAUACCAUGUAUGAUUAUAUAGGUACACAUUUAGUCUUAAGAGAGUCACACUAAAACUUGAAAAAGCUAAAACUUGAUUUUUAGACUUAGCUAGUGCUUUUGGCACGCAAACCCCCAGCCAAACAGCUGCAUGUCUAGAGGUAGAGGAGUAGACUCCUCACACCGGGUAAGUCUAGCUUAGUAUUAGUAUACUCAGCCUUGCUUGUGGCAUAAUUUUACAGGUUCUCUGGAGGACAUGGUUGCUGGAGUGACUUGGUCGUCCAUCUUGCCACUGGGUUGGACAGUCGAGUGGGACCCUACCUCGGCUAAGGAGGAGCAUGAGGAGUGAUGGGACAGGCUUCCCCAUCCCUCCAUUUAUCGUUAGUUUUAUUCCGCUGCAUUUCGAACAAUGAUUACUACUUUUGCUAAAACUCCGAUGAUGAUGUAAUAAAUUUAAUACUCCUUAAUGUAUGGUUUUAUGCUUUAUUGUAUUUGCUCUGUGCCUCACCAUCGAGUGAGUAUGUGGUACUUGAUCCUGUUAGUGGACUCGUCGGACUAGAUCCGAGGGACUGACGUGUUAUUCUCAUUUAAGUGUGGUCUAGCCUAUAUGGCGGGACUUAGGCACUUAAGUUGGAAUAAUUCGAGCGGUUCCGCCAUAGCUGAUAUGUGUGGGGACAGUGUGCCUCGCCACGUCAUGUGUUUAGGUUUACCUUGCAAGGUUUAAAAACUCGAUUCGAAUCGUCUGCUUCUCGCAGCUAAUGAGACUGCUUGAUCCAUUGUACUGCAUUGAGUAAUAAGUGGAAAUGAGGUGACUGGCAAAAGAUGUUGAUUGCUAAAAAUGUUUGAUACCAUGUAUGAAUAGCUAGGUACACAUCUAGUUUAAAAAGGAUCAUACUAAAACUUGAAAACCUAAAACUUGAGUUAGACUCAGCUAGUGCUUUUGGCAAACCAAACCCCUCAGCCAAAUAGCUGCAUGUCUAGAGGUAGAGGAGUAGACUCCUCACACCGGUAAGUCUAGCUGAGUAUUAGUAUACUCAGCCUUGCUUGUGGCAUAAUUUUUUACAGGUUCUCUGGAGGAUAUGGUUGCUGGAGUGACUUGGCCGUCCAUCUUGCCACCGGGUUGGACAGUCGAGUGGGACUCUUCCUCUGCACGAGAGGAGCAUGAGGAGUGAUGGGCCAGGCUUCCCCAUCCCUCCGUUUACUUAUCGUUAGUUGAUUUUCGCUGCAUUCCGAACAACGACCACUACUUUUGCAAAACUCUGAUGAUGUUGUAAUAAUUUGAAGUACUUCUUUAAUGUAUGGUUUUAUGCUUUAUUGUAUUUGCUCUGUGCCUCACCUUCGAGUGAGUACGUGGUACUUGAUCCUGUUAGUGGCCAUGUCGGACUAGAUCCGAGGGACUGACGUUUUAUUCCUAUUUAAGUGUGGUCUAGCCUCUAAGGCGGGACUUAGGCACUUAAGUUGAAAUAAUUCCGGCGGUUCCGCCAUAGCUGGUAUCAAAGCUUGUACCACCACAGAGGAAUCAAUAAAUUGUAAUUACCAACCUUUUCAAAGAGUAAAACUUGUUAGAAAAAAAUGUUGGAUAGAUCGGUAAGACGAUAAGGAUGGACAUAGAAUGUGAAGCCUUAGGAUACUAGAUGGGUAGCUAGGUGGCUAUUUGAAUAUGCCCUACAGGCUACUAUGAUAAUGGAUGGAGGUUUCUCUAUCCCUAUAGGUUUGAGGUGAGGUCGCUUAGGACGUGCAUACAUGUAUCAUUUUUCUAGCUAGUUGGUAAAAGAUCAAGAAUUUUAAAAGCUAUGUAAGCCAAGAAUCACCGUAAUAAAAGUUUAGUCCACAUCAAAGGUCUCAACUUAACCAUGGGAAAGCCAAGCAUUAGUUUCCUUUUAUUUCGGUAAUUCUUUUUCUUUUUCGCUUACGCUUACCCUUACAUAGAUGACUUAUCACGAAUCCUCGGAAGGAGGGAACGCACAUUCCCACACGGACGGACUUGCACGAGAGGGUUUUCCCCGCAUUUUAUGGGAAGUACUGCAGGGAGCCGGUUACGCUAUGCCUCCCUAGUAUGCGGUGCAGUUGUUCGAGGAGCACCGGGUACCCCGCUGUAGGGUGAGGAUGACCUUGGAGCCUCAUCCCUUACAGCCAGGCUGGCGUUCGUUGGACUCUGAGUCUUUCGGUUUCAGGGCUGAGGAUACUAUCGAGUCCACUGCUCUCCAUGGGCUGACGACCUUCUGUGGCUUUCACCCCUUUGAGUUAUCAACUCAUCCCAUUGGCUUGUUCCCCACAAAGAAGGAGGACGACCCAAUGUGGAAGGAUUGAGUGGAGCAUGCCAAGGAUGUGUGGGCUCUUUACCCGGGGAAGACUGCUCACCUGACGGUGCGGUGCAUGAAUGCCCUGUAUCGUCUGCAAGCAGUGCGAGGUGAGGCAAUGUCCCAGCUGAUGGGAUUGGUGGAGUCUACCAAGAUCACCCUGGAUAACAGGGAGGACCUUGUGGUAGACCUGUCCACUGAGCUGGUGGAAAAGGACCUCCUGGUGGAGCAGAUGGCCACCCAAAUCUAAGAGCUUGAGGAUCAGGUAGGGGCCAAGGAGAAUACCAUCGAGGUUCUAUAGGAUCAGCUCCUGACCACGCAACAACAACUUGAGGAAGCCAACCAGCACUUGGAUAUGCACCACCAGGAAAUUCAGGACAUGGAGGCAGAAGGGGCCGAUGAGGAUGUCGACAUCGAGGGAGGAGAGGAGCCAGAGCCUGCAUCCAGCUUGGACACUGCUGGCUCAGGGAGACCACCUUCCCCCGAGUCUAGCGUUGCCUCGUUUGCCCAUUAGCUUUUAGAGAUUGGGGUCGAAGUGUGCAGCAGUAGUACUCCUCGAAACUAGCUUAGCUUUUGCACCUUAGGGUACUAGGCUAGAAAGAGUCGAGUAUUUUGAACACUGCUGUAACCGUUAGAAAACUCUUUUGGAUUGAUGAAUGAUGAAUGAUUUCUAUUUUAGGUUAUGAAGGAAAUUUAUGUCAUGUGGUACCUCCUAUGAAAAUGCAAGGAAAUGUUCGACAUCUUACAAACUUUGUCAUUAAAAUCUCUUACCAUGUGCAAUCCCUGAUUUCAAAAGAAUGAUAUUAAGAGCAUCCUAAAUUUCAGAUGGCAGGAAGAGCGCGCCGUGGAUAGAAUGUGCGCAUUCCUCCACCAUCGCCGCCGCCUCCUACCAUGCAAGAGCUGAUGGCUCAGCAGAAUGAGAUUCUGCGACAAUUAGCUCAACAUCAGCCACCACCCCAACACUAUGGUGGUGGUGAUCACCAUCAGCGUCCCCCAACAGCGGCCACCUAUCAGGAGUUCCUCAGCACUCGGCCGCCAUUGUUCACUCGGGCAAAGGACCCACUUGAUGCUGAUGUGUGGCUUAGUGUGGUGGAAUCCAAAUUCCCACUGUUUACAGAAGUUUGUUCAAAUGUGGCCAAGGUCCGUUUCGCCACCCAGCAGCUUCGCGGACCCGUGCGGACAUGGUGGGAUCACUUCCUAGCUAUGCAGCCGGUUGACCACGUGGUUGAAUGGGGAGAAUUCAAGGCAGCAUUCAGAGGACAUCAUAUACCAGCAGGCAUCAUGGACCGCAAGCUUAAUGAGUUUCUGGCACUUACUCAGGGGAGUCGUACAGUGUUACAGUACACCCAAGCUUUCAAUGACCUGUGUCAGUAUGCAGGCUAUCAUGCUGACACGGAUGAGAAGAAGAGGGACAUGUUCAGGAGGGGCCUCAGUACUAAGCUCCGCAACCGUCUCAACACAGUCAGGGCCAACAGCUACAAUGAGUUAGUCAACUUGGCCAUUUCUCAGGAAGACUGCAUCACAGCCCGUCAGGUAGAGAAGAAGACCCCUAUGGUGGGACCUUUAGCUCAGCCUCAGCGCUUCAGAAUUGUGUCUGACACUUAGAGUAGGGGACCUCAGCAGCAAGGACGGUGGGUGAUCCGACCACAACAGCAGCAGCAGGCACCCAACCGCUCUCAACCCCCAGUUCAGAGGAACAACAACCAGCCACAGCAGCAAUACCGUUAGGCCAAUGACAACAGAUGUUUCACUUGUGGCAGCACUGGGCACUACGCCAAGAAUUGCCCCAAGAACCAGCAGAGGCAGGGGCAGAAUUCAAAUCAGAACCAAGGCAAGAGGCAGAGGGUGCAUGUGAGGCAAGGCAGGCUGAACUUCACCACGUUGGCUAACAUUCCAGAGGGAGCACCCGUCAUGACUGGUAUCUUUUCUAUUUUGAAUUAUCCUGUAGUCAUUCUUUUCGAUUCGAGUGCAUCACACAGUUUUAUUAGUGCGAGAUUUAGUGCCAAAUGCCAGUUACCUUUUCAUCACACAAAUGGGGGCAUUACAAUUUCAACACUAGGAGGCAGGGUUGCCACCUAUCAAAUCAACAGGCAUGUGCCUAUAAAUUUGGUAGUCUUAUAAUUAAACCCACCCUCCUUAUCUUGGGGUUGGAUAGUGUGUAUAUCAUCUUAGGAACUGACUGGUUAUCAAGGCAUCCGACAGUGGUUGAUAUCGCAGCAAGGGCCAUUGAGAUACACUCACCUACUUGUGGUGAAAUCACGUUAUAUUUGCCUAACCAGGGUUGUACCCAUUCUUGUGCCUUCACCCUGAUAGAGUCACCCGUCGAGAAGAUUCCAGUGGUCUGUGAGUACCCUGAUGUUUUCCCAGAUGAAUUGCCAGGAAUGCCACCCGACAGAGACAUAGAGUUUGCAAUUGAGCUGCAACCCGGAACUGCACCUAUAUCCAAGAGACCCUAUAGAAUGCCUACGAUAGAGUUAGCAAAACUGAAGAAGCAGUUACAAGAAUUGUUGGACAAAGGGUUCAUUCGCCCAAGUACUUCACCGUGGGGAUGUCCGGCAUUGUUCGUAAAGAAGAAGGAUGAGAGUCUGAGAUUGUGUGUGGAUUACCGCCCUCUCAAUGCGGUAACAAUAAAAAAUAAGUAUCCUUUACCCCGCACUGAUGUAUUGUUUGAUCAGUUGGUGGGAGCCAAGAUAUUUUCCAAGAUAGACCUUCGCUCUGGCUAUCACCAAAUCAAGAUCAUAGCUAGUGAUAUUCCGAAGACGGCUUUGUCUACCAUAUAUGGACUUGAUGAAUACUUGGUGAUGUCAUUCGAGCUAACCAAUGCCCCCAGCAUAUUUCAUGUAUUUGAUGAAUUCAGUGUUUAUGCCAAAGCUGGACAAGUUCGUGGUGGUCUUCAUUGAUGAUAUCUUGGUCUACUCAAAGAAUGAAGACAAACAUACUAAGCACUUGCAUAUAGUACUACAGAGACUGCGCGAUCAUCACUUAUAUGCUAAAUUGUCCAAAUGUGACUUAUGGAUGAGGGAAAUUAAAUUUUUGGGUCACACCAUUUCUCAGGAUGGGAUAUCAGUUGAUCCUGAUAAAGUGCAAGAAGUAAUGAAUUGGAAGCCUCCUACCACCGUACGGCAGAUUCAAAGUUUUCUGGGAUUGGCAGGAUAUUAUUGGUGAUUCAUUCCAGAUUUCUCCAGGAUUGCAAAGCCAAUGACGGAAUUGUUGAAGAAAGGAGUAAAGUAUGAAUGGAGUCAAAAAUGUGAGGAUGCCUUUCAUACAUUGAGGCAGCAUCUGACAACAGCACCCGUGCUAGCACAACCUAACAACACGAAAUCUUUCGAUGUGUAUUGCGAUGCUUCGGGCACUGGAUUGGGUUGUGUUUUGAUGCAAGACAACAGAGUUAUUGCCUAUGCAUCCAGAGCACUCAGGCCUCAUGAGCAGAACUACCCCACACAUGAUCUGGAGUUAGCAGCCGUAGUUCACGCUCUGAAGAUAUGGAGACACUAUCUAAUGGGAGCUCAUUGUAAUAUCUAUACCGACACAAGAGUCUCAAGUAUAUUUUCACUCAGGCUGAUCUUAAUAUGAGGCAGAGAAGAUGGUUGGAAUUGAUCAAGGACUAUGAUUUGGAGGUGCAUUACCAUCCGGGCAAGGCCAAUGUUGUGGCAGAUGCCCUAAGUCGAAAAGCCCAGUGUAACUGCGUAACUAUGGACUCUAAGAUCACCACUCUGUGUGACGAGUUGCGCAAGCUGAACAUGGAAGUUAUUUCCCCAGGUACCUUGAGUUAUAUCUCAGUAGAGCCCACUCUACAAGAGCAGAUAGUCCUAGCACAGAUUGGUGACAAGGGUGUUCAAGUCAUUAAGAAGAUGCUCGAACAAAAGGUGGAUAAGUACAAAUGCUUUGGUCAGGACAGCAAGGGAGUUCUAUGGUUUGAAGACCGAUUGGUGGUUCCUAAGAAUCCAGAACUCAGGCAGAAAAUAUUGGAUGAAGCCCACCUUUCCAAAUUUUCCAUGCACCCCGGCAGUAACAAGAUGUAUCAUGAUCUCAGAUCCUUGUAUUGGUGGACCAAAAUGAAGAGGGAAAUUUCUAAGUAUGUAUCAGAAUGCGACACUUGCCAGAGAAUCAAGGCUAGUCAUUUGAAAGUAGCAGGUACCUUACAGCCUCUUCCCAUACCAUCUUGGAAAUGGGAGGAUAUUUGCAUGGAUUUUAUUGUGGGAUUGCCCAACACCUCCCGGCACCAUAAUUCUAUUUGGGUCAUUGUGGAUAGAUUAACCAAGACAGCUCAUUUCUUGCCAGUACAUACCACCCACAAGACAGAGAAAUAUGCAGAGAUCUAUAUUGACCAAAUAGUGCGUUUGCAUGGAGUUCCAAGGACUAUUGUGUCUGAUAGAGGAGCACUAUUUGUGGCACGUUUUUGGGAGCAACUCCAAAAGUCACUUGGAACCACUGUGAUUAGAAGCUUAGCGUACCAUCCUCAAACAGAUAGUCAAACGAAAAGGGUAAAUCAGAUUCUGGAGGACAUGUUGAGAGCAUGUGUGUUACACUAUGGUAAGAAUUGGGAUAAGUGCCUUUCUUUGGCGGAGUUCUCUUAUAACAACAGCUACCAGUCCAGCCUAAAGAUGGCACCUUUCGAGGCCUUGUAUGGGAGAAGGUGUAGAACACUGCUAAAUUGGUCACAAGCUGGAGAGAGGGAAAUAUUUGGACCUGCCUAGUACUUGAAGCUGAGAAUAAAGUCAGGGUCAUUAAGAAGAACUUGGAAGCUGCUCAGGCCAGGCAGAAGAGCUAUCAUGAUAAGAGAAGGAAGCCUCUACAAUUCGAAGUGGGAGAUCAUGUAUAUCUUAAGGUGUCACCCACCAAAGGUGUUCAGAGAUUUGGGAUCAAGGGAAAGUUACCUCCUCGUUAUAUUGGGCCCUAUGAAAUCAAAGAGACUUGUGGACAUGUAGCCUACCAAUUGAAGUUGCCACCCCAUAUGUCAGCAAUUCAUGAUGUGUUCCACGUAUCUCAACUACGAAAGUGUGUCCGCUUACCCACGGAAGUGCUACCUGAACCAGAAUUGGAGAUAGAACCAGACUUGUCUUAUCAAGAGCACCCGUCAAGGUUUUGGACCAAAAAGAAAGAUCAACUUGAGCAAGGUCAAUCCAAAUGUAUAAGAUUCAGUGGAGCAACCAUUCAGAAGAAGAGGCUACGUGGAAAACUAAGGAUUUUCUACGUUCUCGCUUCCCUGAUUUUCUGCCUAAAGGAAUCGGUACGUAACCCAAAACACCCACCCCCACCUGCCCUUUGAAUCUAAAUGUAAGGGAAACAUAGUUGUUAAGAGUAGAGUAAGAUGGGAAAAUAAAUCUAGAAGGACUUCCUUCUGAAGUUCCAAAGAGGAUGACAUUCGAAGAGCAGUUAACUAGAGAAACUUGGUUAAAGGAAACUGCAGCACACCAACACACACCUUCUUGGUACCCCACUAGAGGAUCCCUACCCAAUCUCGAGACGAGAUUCCUUUAAGGGGGGAGGGUUGUAACACUCCUGAUGUUACCAAAGCCCUGACUAAAGAAGCACCUUUGUGUCCUACUAAAACUAUAUGCUAAAAUGGGAAGUGAAGGAACUCAAAGUUGUAGAAGCUUGGUUAAGAUAAGCAUUUACCAUAACAAGAGAGAAAACCCUAUCCUUCAUAUAAUGUUCACCCACAAACAAGAUUCUAAAACUCUAAAUCCUUCUUAAGCCCUUAAACCCUAACCAUGGGAUUAAAGGGGAAAGGGUGGGCAAAUGAUCAAAACACCAAAAGGGACCUUUACUAAGAUGAAGUGUAUUAGUAAACCUACAAAUUUUGUUAAGGGAAGUCUUGCAAAAAGGCCCAACCAAAACCCCAAAACAAUUCUCCAAGAGGGGAACACAUUUGAGCCUUUCAAAAAAAUUCUAAGUCCCAAAACCACCCUAGCCCAAAGAUCAAAGGUGUUCACCUUUGUGCUGGCGCCAAAACCACUUGGACCAAAUAGCAAAAAGUACCCAAAUCACCCAAGGCACCUCCCUGAAAAAUUUGAAUUCAAACCAAUGUCGUUUGACAUGGUUUGACAUCAGUUUUGUCACUGGUGAACAGCGCCGAUAGACUUGACUUGGCGCCCGCAUAUCUCGCAAGCUAGGGCAUAUCUCCCAUUGGAACUUACACAAACUAGCUAGCCCUAGGUGCCAGGAAGAGAUCUGCACAAGACCCUUGGUGAGAUUCGCACAUUUGUGAUCCCUACAGGCGCUUGAACAAAGGCAGAAACAAACGCACACGUGUUCGACGCGUUCUGGCGCGCCAGAGCACGCCCUCGGCGCUCCGCCCAUGUGCGCAGCCCCACGCCGCGCCAACCUCACGUCCACGCCCGCGCCCGCUCCUAUAAAAGCCAUCCCGGCCUCGACCAUACACCCCCGCGCGUUGCUGACCCAACCCGAGCUCGAGUUCAUCGGAGGUUGCCCCGUGAGCGAGGUGCCAGCGGCCGGGCAAGCCACGACCACCGUAGACCGGCCAACCCAACCACUCCCCGUCCCGUCCGACUCUCGGGAUAGCCUCUACGGACCUCGGUGAAGCUCCCAGAGCCGAGGAUUGAACUCUACCUCACCGGAGACACCGGAUCGAUGUCGCUGGACUUCAACCGACCACCGGCGCACGUAGACCAAGCUCCACUGUAAGCCUUCCGUCGAAUCCUUGCACUGGUGGCGUCCUUAGCACCCCGUGAAGCUUCCUGUGCCACUAGACUGAGCAAUACCGCCGUAAACAGGCCGAAGCGUACGCCGCCGACGAGCCCGACCGCCUGCGCACGUGGUCCGACCGAUUCCGACCACCACCGUCAACGAGUCGCACCUCGACGUGACUGCUAGGACCUCCCGGAUCUAACCCCGCCCUUCACCGGACCUUCCUCGCUGCCGGUAAGCCGCGCCACCCUGUUUAUUCCCCGCGGUUACUGUUUCAAGGGGGUGGGAGCUCAGUGGAAAUGAAGAAGAAGCCGGGGGGUUUUGAUUAGUCAGUGACUCAGAUGAAUAGUUCCACAGGGGUAUGGUUUAACGAAUUAGUUAAGGAAAAGCCCAGGGGUCUCGGUGCAAACUGGUUUUUCAUUAAACCUGUUAAACAUUAUUCACUUAAAUGCAAACAUAGCUUGCAAAAAUUCAUAACUCCAGUUUUAUUCAACCAAAUUUGGUCAAACCCAUUUUGCUAAGUUCUAAAUAAUAUGAACUACUUAGGAAAAAUACCAAAUACCCUAAGUACUGCAAGACUUUUUAAAGUUUUGAUUUAAAUAGUAAACUAGCCAAAAGCUAAAUAAAGAAGGGAAAAAUAGCUACACUAUUAGACUGAGGUCAAGAAAAAUUAGAGAGGUACUUAACCACUAACUAUCUUAUUUAAAUAUAAUAAACCCCUCAGUACACCAGAUUAGGGAGUAGUUUACCAUUAAAGCUUCCUUUGAUUCAAACUUAAGGAAAAUGUAAAAGGGAGUUUAAAGUAAGAACCAGAGGCCAACCAAAUUUUUGCUAGCUUACUUUAAUGACAUAGUUCACUAGGAAAAUUUUUCAAGUCCUCUAUUAGUACAAAAGAAAUGCACCACAUUUUAUUCCAUGAAAACAAUGAAAACUUAGAAAAAUCCUAGAAAAAUAACCCUAAAGAGAACCCACCCCAAUCCUUGGGGUAACCAAUAAUAUGCUAGUAGGAAUCUAAGAAAAAUAUAAGUUCUGUUGUUUGACAUUUUUCAAAUAACAAGUUAGUUAUAAGUGCAUUUUUGACAUUAACCUUUAGAAACUCACAACUAAAUACCCAGUGGGUCUUUUUCUAUGAUUUUUAGCACAGAGACCUAUUAUCACCCAUGAAUCUUAGUAAAAAUAAAAUUUAGUUCAGAAACCUCACCUAAAUCAGAGCUAUAGAGCAAAGUGCCUUUUCACCCUUACUUUUGUUAUUUUUGCACAAGGAGUAUCUGAAUUAAUUUCAACCUCAAAUUUUUAGAAUGAACCACAGAGGUCAAUGUUUACCCACUGUAAUUUUUGUGACAUUUUUGGAAAAUUCUAGAUUGCCAUGAUAGUUCAAAAGCUCUCAAUAAUAAGCAAAAUUGAAAGUAAAAUGAGAAUUUUUGGGAGAAAUUAGUGGUGUGCAAAUUAAAUCCUCUGUUGGGGGUAUGCUUCGUAGCCGAAGAUCCUAAAGAAAGAGAACACCUUCGGCAGACACUCUCAGGAGCAAGCGCCGAAGCUAUUACUUAGAGAGCUUCGGCACAAUGAUAGAUCCUAAGACGAAGGGUCGAACCGACUUAAAGAUGGAUUGACUUAAAGACCCAUGAUGUCUGUGUCAUUAUUGUAGUCAAUUAUAAAGGACUUAAAUGUAAUUUUACGCAGGUUGCACCCUGUGCCUAUAAAUAGGUGAACAGUACCCCGGCACUGUUCACGCAAUCCUGUAACCCUUGGCAUAUUACGCUCGAAUUAUUGUUUUCCGCCAAGGUGAAGGUAUAAAUGUGCCCAAAUAUCAUGUUUUAGUACUUAUAUAUUCAUAUAAUAAAAUAUGUGAAUAUAUUUUAUACUUUAUAUUUCAUUUCUCAUUGUUUGUUAUCUUACAAAUAUGAUCACGAAGGUGAAAUCUCUGUGACAUUUUAUUCAUGACCUUCGUCCGAAGCUCAUUAAAUCCUUGGGGAGAUAAUGCUUCAGCGGACGAAGGGCAUUUAUACUUAACAUUUUUUGUGUUGCCUUGUUCUUAAUUCAUAGCAGUUGAGAACAAGUCCCCAACAUUGGCGCCCACCUCCGGUGAACUCACUUCCACUUUCUGAGCUGAUGUCUUCGUUUAAAGCUGGAGUUGCUUCGGCUCCGAAGCUCGUACUCCCGAUAACAGGCGGUUCAAGCUCAGAGCCAGCCAACAAGAAGCAGAAGAAGGAGGCACAGAGAAGGGUACAACAUGUCGGGGUGCAAGGACUCUUCAUCAAGUCAAGAUGGUCCCACAUUCUGAUUACCUUCUCCCAAGAGGACCUUCAGCUUAAGGAUUACCCUCACAACGAUGCUAUGGUUAUUUCUUGUGUUAUCAAAGGAUUUCUGGUCCACAAUGUCCUGGUUGAUACAAGCAGUGCAGCGGAUAUUAUAUUUGCUAAGGCCUUCAGACAGAUUCAAGAGCCCGAAGAUAAGAUCCAUGACGCCACACAUCCUCUUUGUGGCUUCGGAGGAAGGCAGAUUGUAGCACUUGACAAGAUCACGAUGCCAGUAACCUUCGGAUUUAUCAACAAUACAAGGACUAAACAAGUUGUGUUUGAUAUUGUUGACAUGGAGUACCCUUACAACGCAAUCAUUGGUCGUGGUACUCUCAAUGCUUUUGAAGCAAUUCUUCAUCCAACAUAUCUUUGCAUGAAGAUACCUUCGGAUCAAGGGCCUAUUGCUAUUCAUGGAAGUCAGGAAGCAGCCAGAAAGUCCGAAGGAAACUGGACAGAUUCAAAAGCAAUCCACAACAUAUAUGGAGCCGAAGCUUGUGAGCAAUACAAGUACAGAAGGGAGAAAGCUGUCUCGGCUGAUCAGCCAAAGCCCAUGCUCUUAUGUGACGAUAUAGCAGAGCAGAAGGUGCUAUUGGGAUCUCAAUUGUCUGAGGAGCAGGAGAAAACCCUGAUAAGGUUUCUGUUUAACAACAAAGAUGUCUUUGCAUGUCAGCUAAUGAUCUCUGUGGUGUCAACAGGGAUGUUAUUGAACACUCGCUCAAUGUUGAUCCAUCCUUCAGACCCAGAAAGCAGAGGCUUCGGAAGAUGUCUGAUGACAAGGCCGAAGGUGCUCGGAAUGAAGUGAAAAGACUCCUCAGCGCUGGAGUCAUCAGAGAAGUAAAAUACUCAGAAUGGCUAGCUAACACUGUUAUGGUGAAGAAAGCCAAUGGUAAAUGGAGGAUGUGCAUUGAUUUUACUGAUCUCAACAAGGCUUGUCCGAAGGAUGAAUUUCCAUUACCAAGGAUAGAUUCUCUGGUAGACGCAGUAGCUUCGUCAGAGCUCAUGAGUUUACUAGAUUGUUAUUCAGGCUACCAUCAAAUCUGGAUGAAGAAAGAAGACGAGCCAAAAACCAGUUUCAUCACCCCCAGUGGUACAUAUUGUUACCUUCGGAUGCCUGAGGGGCUCAAGAAUGCUGGAGGUAGCUUCAGCAGAAUGACAGCAAAGGUCCUUCAUUCUCAGAUAGGCAGAAACGUGCUAACAUAUGUUGAUGAUAUCAUAGUAAAAAGCACAAAGCAAGAAAAUCACAUUGCUGAUAUGCAGGAGACAUUCGCUAAUUUUAGACAAGCUGGUCUGAAGCUGAAUUCGGAAAAAUGUGUCUUUGGGGUAAAGAAGGGGAAAUUCCUUGGUUGUUUGGUUUCAACAAAAGGGAUCGAAGCUAAUCCAAAUAAAAUCAAAGCUAUCCUUCAGAUGGAGCCGCCAAGCACAAAGAAAGGGGCUCAACGGCUGACAGGAAGACUGGCAUCUUUGAAUCGAUUUAUAUCCAGAUCGGUAGAGAGAAAUUUACCAUUCUUUGAAGUACUAAAGUCAGCCGAAGUUUUUCAAUGGGGAUCAGCUCAGCAAAAAGCCUUCGAAGAACUGAAACAGUAUUUGAUAGAUUUAACAACUCUAACUCCACCAACGCAAGGGGCUCCUCUGCUGCUGUAUGUGGCAGCUUCGCACUCUGUAGUAAGUGCGGCGCUUGUUCAGGAGAAGCUUGAAGGGCAAUUAAAAAAGCAGGCUCCAGUAUACUUUGUUUUCGAAGUCCUCAGUUUAUCAAAGAAAAACUAUACAGAAUUGGAGAAGGUGCUGUAUGCUAUUUUAAUGGCCUCCAGGAAGCUUCGACAUUAUUUUCAAGCAUACCAUAUAAUUGUUCCUUCAUCACAACCUUUGAAGGAUAUCAUGAGAAACAGAGAAGCUACUGGAAGGAUUGGAAAGUGGGUUGCGAAACUCAAUGAGUUCUGCAUUGAUUAUGUGCAUAGAUCUUCGAUUCAGUCCCAGGCGCUAGCAGAUUUCAUCGCUGACUGGACGCCAGGGGCUCAAGAAGAAGAAGCAAGUAAAGACGCCGAAGCUUGGACUGUAUUCUGCGAUGGUUCCUGGGGAACCUUUGGGGCAGGUGCAGCUGCCAUUUUAAUCGCACCUUCUAAAGUCAGAACAUGCUACGCAGUGAAACUUGAUUUUAGUUGUACAAAUAAUAUUGCUGAAUACGAAGCUUUGCUUUUGGGCCUUCGGAAGUUGAAGGCAAUGGGGAUAAGAAGGGCGGUUCUCAAAACUGAUUCCCAAGUUAUUUCUGGCCACGUCGACAAAAGUUGCAAAGCAAGAGAUCCGAAGCUUGAGAAAUAUUUGGAUACUGUUCGAAGACUUGAAGCUUCCUUCGAAGGGUUUUUUGUCAAGAAUAUUCCACGAGGAGAAAAUGAGCACGCUGAUCUACUAGCCAAGUCAGCGGCAUAGGGGCUGCCCUUACCUUUGGAAGUAUUUGAAACAAUAAAAGUACCUUCGGUUGACCUUCUUGAAAGAGCAGUACUCAAUAUAUCUCCCGUCUAUAACGAGGAUUGGAGAACUGAGAUCAUGUCUUUUCUUCAGGGCAAUUUCCUUUCAGAUGACGAAGCUUAUCAUAAGAGAAUAGCGGCAAGAGCCCGUCCAUAUGUAAUAAUAGAAGGGGAGUUAUAUAAGCAUGGAGUCUGUUCCCCAUUACUCAAAUAUUUAUCCAGAGCUGAAGGUAUAGAGCUAAUGAAAGAAAUACAUGCAGGCCUGUGUGGAUCUCACAUUGGAUCUAGGCCUUUGUUGGGUAAAGUUUUUCGUCAAGGAUUUUAUUGGCUGAAGGCAGCUUCGGAUGCAGCAGAAUUAGUCCAAAAGUGCGAAGGUUGUCAAAAUGUGCAAGAGACCAAAAACAACCUUCGUCUCUAACUCAAUUAAUACAGCCCACUUGGCCAUUGCAAAGGUGGGGCCUUGAUUUGCUAGGCCCACUUCCACCAGCACAAGGGAAUUUAAGAUAUGUUGUGGUGGCAGUAGAAUAUUUUUCUAAGUGGAUUGAGGCGAAGCCUUUAGUCACAAUAACUUCGGUUACUGUUCAAAAGUUUUUCUGGCAAAAUAUUGUGUGUCGCUUUGGGGUGCCAAAGGCUAUCACUGUGGACAGCGGAACACAAUUUGAUGUCGAAGCUUUCAGAGAGUUUUGUGAACAAAUUGGCACGAAGAUCCAUUUUGCAUCGGUUCGGCAUCCGGAGUCAAAUGGACUUGUUGAAAGAGCUAAUGGCAUUAUAAUGACAGGAAUAAUGAAGUUAAUCUUCAAUCAGCCCAGGGGAAAGUGGUCGGAUGAAUUAAUCAAAGUGGUGUGGAGCCACAACACAACAAUGUCAAGGUCAACAGGUUUUACACCAUUCAAAUUGUUGUUUGGUGAUGAAGCAAUAACCCCAGAAGAAGCUAAAACGGGAUCAAUAAGAACAGUGGCUUCGGCAGAAGACAAAGCUGAUUAUUCUGUGGCAAAAGCUGCUAUAGAAGGGAUCAGGCUUCAGGCUGUGGAGAAUAUCAAUAAAUAUCAAGCCGAAACAAUAAAAUGGCGUGACAGAAAGGUUCGGUUAAAAAAUAUUAAGCCAGAACAUCUAGUGCUUCAGAGAGUGGCUAACCCCGACACAGUAGGCAAGCUUCAGCUGAAGUGGGAAGGACCUUUUCUGGUAGUAUCUUCGUCAAGACCCGGUUCCUUCAGGUUGCAGGAUAUGGACGGCAACGAUAUUCCUAGAUCUUGGAAUGCGGAUGAGCUUCGGCGGUAUUAUGUGUAACCUGAUGUAAUCUUUUUUAUUCUUUCCUAUGGCACCCUUUUCCUUUCCAAAGGGGGAGAAAGGUUUUUAAUGGGGCCAUAGCAUGUAAUUUCCCUUUUUCUUAUACCAGCUCUACAAGAGCAAUAUCCCCCGAAGAUGUAAAUGUAAAAACUGGGCAUGCACCAUCGAGUGCAAAGAGAAAAAAGGGAAAACAGGGAGAAGCUCGAAAGACGUCCCUAAGGGGAUGCAGAGCACGACGAAGCUACAAAAAGCCGUUCCUAAGGGAACGCAACGUAAGUUUUCUGCUCAAAAGUCAUUCCUAAGGGAAUGCAGAGCUUACAACGAAAAGUCAACGCUGAUUCCGCCGAAAUAAAAGGCGAAGCGCGAAAAGUCAACGCGAAUACCAUCAAAAUAAAAGGCGAAGAAGCUCCUAAGGGAGGCCCAAAAUAAAAGGCGAAGAAGCUCCUAAGGGAGGCUUACAGCGAAAAGUCAUCGCUGAUACACCGAAAAAUAAGCGGUGAAGCCGAAAAAUAAACGGCAAAGAUUUGUUAUUCCUAAGGGAAUAAGAGUUGUGGUUAUGGUUUCGUAUAUGUCUUCGAACAUUCAUUUGCACGAUACAUUACAUCAUACAUUUGCAUUCAUAAACAUUCACUUAGACAUACAUAGGAUCAUCAUCAUCAUAACAUACAAACUUGCUUCGGCUUUGAAAGAGAAGGCUUCGGAAAAAAGGGAAAAGAGGCAAUUUUAUGCUUCGCUGUGUACGCAAAGAAGGGAAGGUGUUUUUCGCCUUCGGCUCAAAAGUAUUAAUUUCGUCCACACCAAAGCAUUUCAUACAUUGAUGGAAAAGUAAGAUUAUAUUACAAAGUGAAAUUUAAUUACAUCAUACUUUAUACAAGCUUUUUGAGCUAUUUUUACAGACUAUUCGAGCUUCGACAACAUCCAUGGAGCUUCGUCCUUUUACUCCGCAGCUUCAGCUUCGGCUUGGUCAACCUGUAUGUAAGUAUUAUAAGCCAAAUUCAAAAUUCAAAGGAAAAGGUAAAUAUAAGGUAUGAUUUUUUUACCAGCUUAAGAUGGCUUCGAGCUUCGUCACCAGCUUUGCUCCGGCCACCCUUUGUCCAUACUAAUUUUAUGAAUCUAUUCACAAUACUUCGGGCUAGGCUGGGAAUGUUAUCUAAGUCUGCUGGUGACAGACUGAAGUUGGGUCUAUUAACAAUCUUUCCGUGCUCACAGCCAGACUUCAAAAAGGCAACAUCUGUGCCCCGAGAAGCUGCCAGGGCACAGAAGUCGCCAUGCCCAGCUAUAACUUCGUCAAGAUCAUUAAUUUCACCUUCAAUAUGCUCGAAGGCACCAGGCAGGUCUUCACUCGAAGGAGUGAACUUUUCACUACUGGCUCCAACAAAAUGGAAUACCUGCUUCAACUGUUGAAUGCAUCGAUUGCUGAACUCCAGGCAUUUAUUCUGAAGAUUUGUCAAGGAUUCUUUCAGCUCCGAACUUUUUUGAACUUUGGCUUCAAGCUUUGCGUCAAGUUUCAGCUUUUCUUGUUCGAAAUUUUCUGAUUGGGAAAGAAGCUUCGAAUUUAAUUCUGUUAUUUUGGCUUCAGCAUCCGCUAAUAAGCCUUCGGCUGUUUGAAGCUCGAAGUCUUUCUUUUCGAUGUAAGCUGAUUGCUCUUUUAUCUUGUUUUCUAGGUUCUCAAUUAUAACUUCGUGCCUUUUAUCCUCUAAGUCCUGUUGCAUUUUUAAGGCCUUGCUCAAAAGCAUACUCUGUGGACAGAUAACCUUCGUUAGAAAAUAUUUAUGUUAUUGAAAAUAGUAAAGGUUAGGCACAAGAUAUUUACCUUAAAAUUGAAUAGAACAAACUGCCGACAAUGUGUUGUCGUCGGUAGCGGCUGAUGUCUGCUUUGAGCUUCGGGAAGCCGAUACUCUUUGAUAGAGUACCGAUGACCUUCGCGCCAGUCUGAUCUCGUAUGCAGCCUAAUCUUUCGUCAUCAAUACCACCAAAGAGAAGCGCCCCCGGCCGGUACCCGCAAGAUAUAGCAUAUUCUUUUAGUUCCUCUUUUUCAGCUUCUUUCAGCUCUUGGCCAACUAAGUUUUGAAAGUCAAAAGUUUCAUCUUCCGAGGUAUCUUCGGUCAUUUCUUCUUUCUCGGGUUUUGUGGCCAUGGUCUCUUCGGUGGCUGCGACAGCUUCUUCCGUGGCCAUGUUUAACAGCAUUUUGUCUAUAUCAUCAGCUAUGCUUUCUAAAUUAAUAUCUUCGGAUUUAGCAUCUUCGGCUCUGGCUUCUGCUGCGGCAAUUUUCGAAGGUACAACUUCAAUAGCCGGUACCUUCGGUGCUGAAGCCCUUGGUGGUGUUGCUUCAAUAACUUCUGUCACAGUAACAAUCCUUUGCCUCUUUGGCCUAGGUGCCUUCGAUUUUAUGGACUCCUUUUCCUUAUGAAAAAGCUUCGUCAGAUGUAGUCCCAAUGGACUUAGUUUGACAGGCAAUGUUUCAGUCAUUACCUUUAAAAUUUCCUCUAUUUCAGUAGCAGAGGACGUCGCAGAAGUCUUUUCUUUUUCAUCAUUUGAUUUUUGCUUCGGAGUUGAAGCCUUUCUUUUCUGCGAAGCAACUGUUUUCGCCUCAGACUCUUGUUUUUUCUUCUUUGAUUGAUCUUCGUCGUCCUUAUUCAGAGCACUAGCCACUCUUUUCUUUUUUGCCCUUCGACACCCUUGUCCAGGCGCUCGUAGUCAGGAUAUUCAAAGCCUAUAGCAUCCAUCACUCGGUUUAGCCUUCGUUUCGGACGGGUGCCGAAGGCCGCUGUCAUCAAUUGAUCUUCUUUUUUAGAAUAAUUUCCAAGUAUUUCGUUGCACAUUACUUCGAUUGUAUCCAGCCAUUCUUGGCAGGGUACUUUGAAAUGUCUCUUGAAUUUGUAGUGGUAGGGCAGCCGGACAAGUUCUCCCUCCUUUUUUCUUUCGAGCUUCGGCAUGGCCCACUCUUUCAUAGUUGGAAAUACUUUGAAAGCCAAAAAUUCCUGCACUAAGUCCCUAGUGCCAAUGUGCUCUGCGAUAAUCCUGAAUUCAGCCAGUGCAGUUUGGGUUGGACCCUCUGGUGUCAUAUUACAUUGGGGUCUGGUCUCUCCGAAGAUCAGCUCUAGCGGGCUCUGGACCAACUUCUCCUUAUCAUCGUCAACUUUGACGUAGAACCAUUCCGAUUUCCAGCCUGCCGGCCACUUGCUUCGGUAGCUGAUCACGGGAAAUUUUGUAGUCUUCCGGUAAGCAAAAUUGUAGCAGCCGAAGUUUUCAUGUAACCCAUCUUUUCUGGCAUUGGUUUGGUAAUGCAGCUCAUGCACUCGGCAGAAACCUUCGGCAAACGGUUCCACCCCUUGGCUUCGGAGAGCCCAAAUGUAAACGCUAAGCCUAACGAUAGCGUUAGGAGUUAGCUGAUGAAAGUAGAUCCCAAAUUUCUUUAGCACAUCAGCAAUCAUCUUAUUCAAAGGGAAUCUCAAACCAGCUUUGAAGAAACUCUUAAAAACUACUAUUUCAUCUUUUCCUGGUUUCGGAGUAGUUUCCUCUCCACCAAAGCGAAUCAACUCUUUCUUUUCUUCAUUGAAAUAGCCCAAUUUUAACAUCUUAGGAAGGUCACCUUCGGAGACUGUGGAUUUUCCAAAAUCCAGGUGGCUGGGUUUGCUCGGCACCGCACUGCUAUAAUCAUCCUCAGAAUCGGUCUCCUCAACUUCAACUCGCUCUGCUCCAGCGGCAGGGACGUCCUCCGAUGUCACCAGCCCAGACCGCUUCAUGGCUUCGGAGAUUGGAACGGUCUCAACAGCUUUGGUCUCAUCUCCCUCACGAUCAACCCUAGUAGUGGAGCGAACCCUGGCCAUUUGAUUAUAUCUUUCUUGAAAUUUUUUGAUUGUUGACUUUUCUGAUUUUCCCGAAGCUCUUCCUUUUGACGAAGCAGAAUCAAAAGCGGGGUUUCGUCUGAGCACGAUGAUUAAGCUUCGGCUAUGACUAAAAUUUUGGUAGCAAAACAGUGCAAUAGCAAUGAAUGUUGUGGUAACUUCACACCUACCUGUCUGUUUAUAUAGUGCCGCAGGUGAGAAGGUGAAUCAUCAAGGUCUCCCGCACCGAACAAACAGUCACCUACACUCGCUGAGCGGUGGGCCACAGGGUUCGAGAGGGUGAAUCGCCAGGGAGCGCGUAACUGCUGCAAGAUGGAGCCAUCUCGAGCGCGAAUUAUUUUAAUCGUUUCUCGCCGACGAGCUCAGGGAAGGUGCUUUCGGAUCUUCAGCAUCUCGAAGCCUAGAAGACUUUUUUCACGGAUCAAGCUCGUUACGAAAAACGAUCUAGCACCGCGAAGGGGCUACUGUUGGGGGUAUGCUUCGUAGCCAAAGAUCCUAAAGAAAGAGAACACCUUCGGCAGACACUCUCGGGAGCAAGCACCGAAGCUAUUACUUAGAGAGCUUCGACACAAUGAUAGAUCCUAAGACGAAGGGUCAAACCGACUUAAAGAUGGAUUGACUUAAAGACCCAUGAUGUCUGUGUCAUUAUUGUAGUCAAUUGUAAAGGACUUAAAUGUAAUUUUACGCAGGUUGCACCCUGUGCCUAUAAAUAGGUGAACAGUACCCCGGCACUGUUCAUGCAAUCCUGUAACCAUUGGCAUAUUACUCUCGAAUUAUUGCUUUCCGCCAAGGCGAAGGUAUAAAUGUGCCCAAAUAUCAUGUUUUAGUACUUAUAUAUUCAUAUAAUAAAUUAUGUGAAUAUAUUUUAUACUUUAUAUUUCAUUUCUCAUUGUUUGUUGUCUUACAAAUAUGAUCACGAAGGUGAAAUCUCCGUGAUAUUUUACUCAUGACCUUCGUCCGAAGCUCAUUAAAUCCUUGGGGAGAUAAUGCUUCAGCGGACGAAGGGCAUUUAUACUUAACAUUUUUUGUGUUGCCAUGUUCUUAAUUCAUAGUAGUUGAGAACAAGUCCCCAACAUCCUCCAAGGGCCCAAAGCAAACAUCCAAGGGAUGACUAAAAUUUUAAGUUCAUUCAAGACCCUAAAAUGAGUGUAUGAAACCCUUAACACACCAUUCGCCAAAGGAAACCCUAGUGUACCCACUAUUUUAAUACUGCUUCACCCUACGUAGCAUUUACAACUUGCCAUAUCAUUAAUAUGCAUAUAUCUUAUUCAUUGCAUUCGAUAGAUUGUAAUCUCGCUGAUAGAGAGUACAUCCUCGUUCUAGAGCAAGGAGUUGCUCAGGAGGUAGCCCAGGAGCCAGCACCAGAGCCUGGCAUUGAGGAUCUGCCUACCCCAGCUUUGGAAGGCAAGCCUCGGUUUUAUGCAUAACCGUUUAUAUAUGCUAUUUUACUACACUUAAUGUUUGUAGGCUUGUAUUGUGCACUUAAGUGUAGGAGUUGACUGAAACCCUAGUUGCAUGAACUCAGGAUUCCUUUUGAGAUGGAUACUAGUAUGCUAGGUCGAGUAGCCGCUUUACUAAUUAGGGAUCUCGGUAGAAGUCGAGUGAUUUUUCUAGCACUCGCGCGAGGUCAGGAAUUGGUUGUAUCCAUUUUGAUAACGGAAUGAUGAUGGUCUGUGGACACAGAUCCAUGGGGAUGUGUGGUCUAUAAGAAGAAAUUGGAAUAAGGAUUAACGUGCGGAUACCAGUGUCAAGCGUUUGAACGUACUAAACACAUGCCGAGAAAUAUGGUAAAUCGGUAAGCCUAGUACCUGAGUGAACCUGCCUGCAGACUUUACCCCUCACGUGACCUGAGACGUGGUCUCCCAUUCUGGUUAUGAUGGGUACAAGUGCGGUCACUGCACGACGGCAGUCGGGGUCAGUGAGGCAUUGUACGCCAAGGCGGUGAGCCCUGUUCUGUUGCCAGGGAAUCGAUGGGGACGGUUGAUAUGUGUGGGGACGGAGUGCCUCGCCACGUCGUGUGUUUAGGUUUACCUUGCAAGGUUUAAAAACUCGAUUCGAAUCGUCUGCUUCUCGCAGCUAAUGAGACUGCUUGAUCCAUUGUACUGCAUUGAGUAAUAAGUGGAAAUGAGGUGACCGGCAAAAGAUGUUGAUUGCUAAAAAUGUUUGAUACCAUGUAUGAAUAGCUAGGUACACAUCUAGUUUAAAAAGGAUCAUACUAAAACUUGAAAACCUAAAACUUGAGUUAGGCUCAACAAGUGCUUUUAGCAAACCAAACCCCUCAGCCAAACAGCUGCAUGUCUAGAGGUAGAGGAGUAGACUCCUCACACCGGUUCAGUCUAGCUUAGUAUUAGUAUACUCAGCCUUACUUGUGGCAUAAUUGUUUACAGGUUCUCUGGAGGAUAUGGUUGCCGGAGUGACUUGGUCGUCCAUCUUGCCACCGGGUUGGACAGUCGAGUGGGACUCUACCUCUGCAGGGGAGGAGCAUGAGGAGUGAUGGGCGAGGCUUCCCCAUUCCUCCGUUUACUUAUCGUUAGUUGAUUUCCGCUGCAUUCCGAACAAUGACCACUACUUUUGCAAAACUCCGAUGAUGUUGUAAUAAUCUGAAGUACUUCUUUAAUGUAUGGUUUUAUGUUUAUUGUAUUUGCUCUUUGCCUCACCUUCAAGUGAGUGUGUGGUACUUGAUCCUGUUAGUGGCCUUGUCGGACUAGAUCCGAGGGACUUACGUUUUAUUCCAAUUUAAGUGUGGUCUAGCCUCUAAGGCGGGACUUAGGCACUUAAGUUGGAAUAAUUCAGGCGGUUCCACCACAUAUUAUAAGCAAGGCUAUCUGCAUGUUCAUCCUUCGACAUCGCAGAUAAGCCGAGCUCUAGCUUUGGAAAUCCCAUAUUCAUUGCCAUUUCUCGACAAAUAGAUAUCUCCUUGUUGUCCGGUAGGCAAUAUAGAAAGUCAUCUUCGUCAGUGCCAUUGUAUACCAAGAAUCCUGGGGGAUACUUCAGAUCCUUGGCAUAUUGCCUAGCUUCGGCAAUUUGCUCCUCCGAUAGUUUUUUUCCCUGAAGCGUGACGCACUAUAAAUUCUAAUUCCUCAGUAGAUGCUUCAGGAGCAGGGGAUUCAGAUUCUUCGGUAGCCUUCUCUUUUUGUAAUGGUAAUGGUACUUUCGCUGCAUCCGAAGGUGUAGAUUCAGUAUUCUUUUCAACAAUCUUUGCAGGCCUUGCUUCGGCGGGCACCGAGGGCCCAACUUCAGCUUCAACCUGCGUCCUGUCGACUUCGGUAGAUUUCUUUGUAUUGUUAACUUCCAUGCUAGGUGCUUCUGCAGAGGUAGGAGUUAGCGCCUUUGUGGAUUCCAUAACAGCGUCUAGUACGCUGACCAUCCUUCUUCUCUUCGGGGUUACUGAAACCACUUUUUGUACCUUCGACUGUUCUGUUUCUUGCAAUGGACUCAAAGCUUUCACUUGCUCCGCUGCUAUCUUUAAUUUUGGUUCUUCGACCGAUUCCGUCUUAGCUUUGGCAGGAGCGGGGUAACUUAACUCCAAGGCAGAAGAAGGCCCUUCAGCAAGCUUUGGCACUUCGGUCGUUUCAAUGUGCCUGGGCCGAUGUGUUAGAACUUUAAUCUUCUUUGGCUUCGGCGUAGUAGAAAUCGCCAAAGCAUCAACUCUUCUUUUCUUUCCUUGCUUUCACGAAGGAUAGUUGUAAUCUGGGUAUAUGAAACCAAUAACUUCAAAAACCCUAUUCAACCUUUUGUUGCCUCGGCCUCCGAAGACCGCUGUCAUGGCAUCAUCCUCGGCCCUUGAGUAAGCGCCGAGCAACUCAUCGCUCGUUGCGUCAGUGGCAUCUAGCCAGUCGUCGUUUGGCUCAUCAAAUUGGCUCCUGUAUUUGAAUGUGUACUUCAAGUAAACCAAGCCACCUUGGCUAGACCUAGCAGCAGUCUCCUUCGGCAUCUCCCACCCACUCCUGAGUGGCCACACCUUGAAGGCAAUUUGUUCCAGGACUAAGUCCCUGGUGCCUAUGUAAGUGCAUACUAUGUUAUAAGUAGCUUGGCACGCUUGUAUGUCGUUUCCGAGGGCAAGGGAUGGUCUCCUAAUGCCGAAGUGAGACCAUAUAGGACGUUGGAUAAUCCCCUUGAUGUCUUCCCUCUCAACCAUAUCGUUCUUCACAUAGAACCAUUCUUGCAUCCAAGCUCCCGGCCAUCUCUUGCGGAAAGUUGCAACCGGGUUGCUUACCUUAGAGCGGGUUACGAAGCCAUAGAAACCAAAGUUGUUGUGAUAUUGUUCUUUACCAGUGGCCUUCGUCUCAUAAGACAAUUCAUGCAUGUUACAGAAGCUUCUCGCAUUUGGUUCUUGUCCUUGGCUCCUCAUGGCCCAAAUGUAAACCCCUAUCUUGAUGAUGGCUUAGGGGGUAAACUGGUGAAGGUAGACUUCAAAGGUUUUCAGCACUUCGACCGGCAUACUAUCCAAAGGAAACUAGGCCCCGCUUUCAUAAAACUUCUAUUGACAACCACCUCAUCAGCUUCGGGCAGAGGGACAUUACUCUCCCCUCCAGCCCGCACAAUGGAAAUGUCACGAAAGUACCGUCCCCUCAUGGCAUCAAUCUGUCCUUGUUUGAUUGUUGACUUUCCGAAGACAACAUGACUUGUCCUCCAGGGCCGAUCUUCGGCACCCUCUUUUUAACUUUCUGCAUCAAAGUCUUCACUGUCACUGGAACCCUCAGAUAUUCCAGCUAGUGUCUCAUGUGCGAUCUUUUCUGCAUUGGUCCUCUCCAUAGCUUCGUAAAACUCGGACAGCGCCGAGUCGGCAGUCUUCUUCUCACCAGCCAUCAAAACAAAUCUUGUUGAAAUGCCGAAGCUCAAACUCACAACAAAACAAGAGAGUUUAAAAUAGCGAGCACAAUGUAAGCAACUGAAAUAGCAAAAGAAACACAUUCAAUACGAGCUCAUAUUUAUAUGCAUAGCACCCCACGGCUUGGUGGGUCCGGCAACAGUGUCGUUCGCUAUUCUAGCGAAGGGAAGGUGUUUUUUCGGACCUUCGGCUAAAGGCCUUUGUCCAUGUCGCAGUCUAAAUUUGUUAGAAGGAAACAAAUUAAUACUGUGAGGGGCUACUAUUGGGGGCCUUCCUCUUCCGAAGGUCCUCAAAAAUAUGUCUAACCAUAUGUUUUCAGCAUGAUUAGAAUAGUUACAGGAAGCUUCGGCUUUGGGAUGAAGAACUUCUCUCAUGGCAUAAUGAAGGGAGAUAAAGAAGUGGGCAACGAAGCUAAAAGCCAAAGGACCUUUGGCCUAACAUAUUGACGAAGCUCAGAAGCAUGAUGAUAACUGGAAGGGGCUAAAGACCUUAUAGUCCUCAAUAAUUCAUGUUAGGAUUAUAGGCAGUUACCAGGGACAUAAUUGUACUUUUAUCCGGGUUGUGUCACGUGCCUAUAAAUAGAUGAACAGUAAUACCAUACUGUUCACGCUGGAUUGUAAUCGCUCUCGAGCCAUUCUCGCUCUCUCAUCUUCUAACAAGCCGAAGGUAUCAUUGUAAUAUGAAUAUUGUUAAUGUUUAUUCAUGUUUAAUGAAGAUAAAUGAAUCAUAAAUACAUAAUGGAUAUUAUCUUGAUCCCUCUGUAUUCCUUCAUCUUCUUGUUUAUAUUCAUAUUCAUAUUCAUAUUUACAUAAUAUCAUAAAAAUGAUGAAGGUGUGUCCUUCAUGACCUUCGUCUAAAGAUCAUUAUAUCCGAGAGGAAAUAAUGUUUUGAAGGACGAAGGUCUUUAACCAUUAUCAAUUGUGUUGCCUUGUUCUUAAUUAAUAGCAUUUGAGAACAAGUGAACAACAGGUCUCCUAAGCGAAUAAUAUUGAGAUAAAUUUACUUGCUUAGGAACCUUACCCUUCUUACAUACCUUAAGUAGAUGACCAUGCUCACCACACAUGUAGCAGAAGCGUCGCUCAACCUGACAUGACUCUCGAUGUUUGUCUUUUUUCUUAGUGAGGGUCAUCUUGGAAGGUUCACGUCUUUGAUUCUUCAUGAGCGGACAUGAAGUGAUCAUAUGGUCCUUAUCAUUGCAUCCAAAACAUCUCCUCAUCCCUUCAUCCUUGUCUUUGUGCGGACAAGACGCAAUGAAGUGGCCUAAUUCCUUGCACUUGAAGCACCUCCUUUUUUCAUCUUCCCUUUUUGCUAUUGGAUGACAUAGAGAGAUUGAGAGCACCUAGAGGGGGGUGAAUAGGUGAUCCUGUAAAAACUUAAACUUAUAGCCACAAAACUUGGUUAAGUGUUAGCACAAUGGAAUUAAGUGGCUAAGGACCAAGCUCUUGAAAAACACAAUGGUCACAAAGAAAACAAGCACAAGAGACAUGAUGAUUUAUCCCGUGGUUCGGCCAAGUAUAACACUUGCCUACUCCAUGUUGUGGCGUCCCAAUGGACGAGGGUUGCACUCAACCCCUUUCAAGUGAUCCAAUGAUCCACUUGAAUACCACGGUUGUUUUCUUUCUUAUACUCUUUCAUGUUUGCAAGGAAUCUCCACAACUUGGAGUCUCUCGCCCUUACAACAAAGAUCAAAGUGAAAGCACUAGAGUAAGGGAGGGAAGCAACACACACAAAUCCGCAGCAAUACGCACACACAUAGCCAAGACUUGAGCUCGAAUGAAUCGCAACAAGUUCACCACUAGAACGGAGCUCAAAUCACUAAGAAAGUCAAUCAAGUGCGCGGAGAUGGAGUGUGAAAGAUUUAGAAUGCUCAAAGUAUGCUUGGGUGUCUCCUCCAUGCGCCUAGGGGUCCCUUUUAUAGCCCCAAGGCAGCUAGGAGCCAUUGGAGGCAUUCUUGGAAGGCAAUUCUUGCCUUCUGUCGGGUGGCGCACCGGACAGUCCGGUGCACCACCGGACAGCCACUGCAUCAUGUCCGGUGCGGAUCUCCUUCCAUUCCUAGCGUAGCCGACCAUUGGAUCUUCGGGCUGGUUGGCGCAUCGGACACUGUCUGGUGCACACCGGACAGUCCGGUGCCCCCAGUCGGCCGUUGGCUGGGGCCACGCGUCGCGCGCGGAUUGCGCGGCCGACCGUUGCGCUGGCGGCCGUUGGCUCACCGGAUAGUCCAGUGCACCACCGGACAGUCCGGUGAAUUAUAGCCAUACGCCGCCGACGAAUUCCCAAGAGUGGCCAGUUCGUCAGAGCCCAGCCUGGCGCACCGGACACUGUCUGGUGCACCACCGGACAGUCCGGUGCACCCAGACUGAACAGCAGUUGGCCAACUCUAUUCCAAUCCUUUUCUUUUCCUGAUUCUAGCACUUAGAUAAAUAUAUUAGUACACACGAACCAAUGUACUAAGUCUAGAACCAUACCUUGUCGAUUUGCACUUCAUCCAUCAUUUGACAUAUAAUUACUCACUCAAUAUGUGUUGGGCACUUAAUCACCAAAAUAUACUAGAAAUGGCCCAAGGGCACAUUUCCCUUUCAAUCUCCCCCUUUUUGGUGAUUUAUGCCAACAUAUCAAAAAGCAACAACUAGAAGUGCAACAUCAAUGCAAAUGAGAACAAGAAUUGUUUUUUAUUCAAAUUUGGCAUAUUUGGAGCAUUCUUUGCCACCACUUGGUUUGUUUUUGCAAAUCAACUUCAAUUUCCUAUCUCUAAGUCAAACACACUUGUUGAGGCAUAAAGAGAGGUAUUCCAAGAGAAAUUGAUCAAAGAUUCAAAAACUCCCCCUUUUUCCCAUGAUCAAACAUUCUCCCCACAAGAGACCAACUUUUGACAAUAAGGGACAACAAGAGUAUUUUGACAAAUCAAAAGUUCUAACUCUACUAUUUUCAAAAUUCUCAAGUAGUACCUGAUCCAUUUGCUUGCUUUGGCCUUAAUUUCUCCCCCUUUGGCAUCAAGCACAAAAACGGGAUCAUUUUUGGCCCUAAAACCCCAUUGCCUCACCAAAAUCGUCAAUUACGAGUAAAAAGGCAAUAAGAGCAUGGAGAUGAACUUGGAGUUAAUUACCCUCUCAUAGGAGUGCAGUGGAAGACUUUCAUGGUCCAAGUUCAUCUUUCCCUUUCAAUCCACCUUUGAGACUAGAUUGAGUAAACUCAAGCACACGGUUAGUUUCAAAGGGUCAAGUUGUAGCACAUCUCCCCCUAAAUAUGUGCAUCACUUGCAAAUGGACUUGUGAGGUCCGGGGAUCAUGUGUACAACUUGGGCACCACAAAUGAACAAUAUAGAUUGAAAUGCAUAAAUUACAUGAUCAAGGGCAUAAAACACAUGUAUGCUAUAGAUCAUUCCAAGUUAUGCGAAUCUAAGACAUUUAGCUCACUACACAGCCUGCAAAAGGUCUUCUCAUCUAAAGGCUUGGUAAAGAUAUCGGCUAGCUGGUUCUCGGUGCUAACAUAAAACACUUCGAUAUCUCCCUUUUGCUGGUGGUCUCUCAAAAAGUGAUGCCGGAUGUCUAUGUGCUUAGUACGGCUGUGUUCAAUAGGAUUAUCCACCAUGCGGAUUGCACUCUCAUUAUCACAUAGGAGUGGGACUUUGCUCAGAUUGUAGCCAAAGUCCCAGAGGGUUUACCUCAUCCAAAGUAGUUGUGUGCAACACUGUCCUGCGGCAACAUACUCGGCCUCAGCGGUGGAUAGGGCAACAGAAGUUUGUUUCUUUGAACUCCAAGACACCAGGGACCUUCCUAGGAAUUGGCACGUCCCUGAUAAACUCUUCCUAUCAACCUUGCAUCCAGCAUAAUCGGAGUCUGAAUAUCCAAUUAAGUCAAAGGUAGACCCAUUUGGAUACCAGAUCCCGAAGCAAGGCAUAGCGACUAAAUAUCUAAGAAUUCGCUUAACAGCCACAAGGUGACACUCCCUUGGGUUGGAUUGAAAUCUAGCACACAUGCAUACGCUAAGCAUAAUAUCCGGUCUACUAGCACAUAAAUAAAGCAAGGAUCCUAUCAUAGACUAGUAUGCCUUUUGAUCAACGGACUUACCUCCUUUGUUGAGGUCAACAUGUCCGUCGGUUCCCAUUGGAGUCUUUGUGGGCUUGGAGUCCUUCAUCCCGAACCGCUUGAGCAAAUCUUGCGUGUACUUCGUUUGAGAGAUGAAGGUGCCGUCCUUGAGUUGCUUCACCUGGAACCCAAGGAAGUAGUUUACUCGCCCAUCAUCGACAUCUCAAAUUUCUGAGUCAUCACCCUGCUUAACUCUUCACAAGACUUUUGGUUAGUAGAACCAAAUAUUAUGUCAUCGACAUAAAUUUGGCACACAAAUAAGUCAUCAUCACAAGUUUUAGUGAAUAGAGUUGGAUCGGCUUUCCCAACCUUGAAAGCAUUAGCAAUUAGAAAAUCUCUAAGGCAUUCAUACCAUGCUCUUGGGGCUUGCUUAAGUCCAUAGAGCGCCUUAGAGAGCUUACACACGUGGUCGGGGUACCGUUCAUCCUCAAAGCCAGGGGGUUGCUCUACGUACACCUCCUCCUUGAUUGGUCCGUUGAGGAAAGCGCUCUUCAUAUCCAUUUGGAACAACCUGAAGGAAUGGUGAGUAGCAUAGGCUAACAAAAUGAGAAUAGACUCUAGCCUAGCUACAGGAGCAAAAGUCUCCUCAAAGUCCAAACCUGCGACUUGGGCAUAACCUUUUGCCACAAGUCGAGCCUUGUUCCUUGUCACCACUCUAUUCUUGUCCUGUUUGUUGCGGAACACCCACUUGGUUCCCACAACAUUUUGCUUGGGACGUGCCACCAGGGUCCAAACUUCAUUUCGCUUGAAGUUGUUGAGCUCUUCCUGCAUGGCCAACACCCAGUCCAGAUCUAGCAAGGCCUCUUCUACCCUGAAAGGCUCAAUAGAAGAGACAAACGAGUAAUGCUCACAAAAAUUAACUAAUCUAGAGCGAGUAGUUACUCCCUUGCUUAUAUCACCCAAAAUCAGGUCGACGGGAUGAUUCCUUUGAAUCGUUGCUCGGACUAGAGUGGGAGGGGCAUGUGGUCCUUCUUCCUCCAUAACUUGAUCAUCUUGUGCUCCCCCUUGAUCACACACCUCUUCUUGAUGAACCUGUUCAUCAUCUUGAGUUGGGGGGUGCACCAUUGUUGAGGAAGAAGGUUGAUCUUGCUCUUUUUGUUCCUGUGGUCGCACAUCUCCAAUCGCCAUGGUGCGUAUUGCGGCCGUUGGAACAUCAUCUUCAUCUACAUCAUCAAGAUCAACUUGCUCUCUUGGAGAGCCAUUAGUCUCAUCAAAUACAACAUCGCUAGAGACUUCAACCAAACCCGAUGAUUUGUUGAAGACCCUAUAUGCCUUUGUAUUUGAGUCAUAACCUAACAAAAACCCUUCUAUAGCUUUGGGAGCAAAUUUGGAAUUCCUACCUUUCUUUACUAGAAUGUAACAUUUACUCCCAAAUACACGAAAAUAUGAAACAUUGGGUUUGUUACCAGUUAGAAGUUCAUACGACGUCUUCUUGAGGAGGCAAUGAAGGUAGACUCGGUUUAUGGCGUGGCAAGCUGUGUUCACAGCUUCCGACCAAAACCGUUUGGGCGUCUUGAAUUCACCAAGCAUCGUCCUCGCCAUGUCUAUAAGUGUCCUAUUCUUCCUCUCUACCAUACCGUUUUGCUGUGGUGUGUAGGGAGCAGAGAACUCGUGCUUGAUUCCUUCCUCCUCAAGGUACUCCUCCACUUGAAGAUUCUUGAACUCGGACCCGUUGUCGCUCCUUAUCUUUUUCACCUUGAGCUCAAAUUCGUUUUGAGCUCUCCUUAGGAAGCGCUUUAGGGUCCCUUCGGUUUCUGUUUUAUCCUGCAAAAAGAAUACCCAAGUGAAGCGGGAAAAAUCAUCAACAAUAACAAGACCAAACUUACUUCCCCCAAUGUUGAGGUAGGCGACGGGUCCGAAGAGGUCCAUGUGAAGUAGCUCCAAAGGUCUUGAUGUGGUCAUCACAUUCUUGCUAUGAUGAGAACUUCCCACCUGUUUACCUGCUUGACAAGCUGCACAAGGUCUAUCUUUUUCGAAAGUUACAUUGGUUAGACCUAACACAUGUUCUCCCUUUAGAAGUUUAUGAAGGUUCUUCAUCCCAACAUGUGCGAGACAGUGAUGCCACAGCCAGCCCAUACUAGCCUUAGCGAUUAAGCAUGCAUCUAGAACAGCCUCCUCCUUCGAAAAAUCAACUAAAUAGAGUUAGCCGUCUAGUACACCCUUAAAAGCUAAUGAACCAUCACUCCUCCUAAAGACAAACACAUCUACAUUGGUAAAUAAGCAAUUGUAACCCAUAUUACAUAGUUGACUAACGGACAACAAGUUAUACCCGAGCGAUUCAACUAAAAACACAUUAGAUAUGGAAUGCUCGAAUGAAAUAGCUAUUUUUCCUAGUCCUUUAACCUUGCCUUGAUUCCCGUCUCCAAAGAUGAUCGAAUCUUGGGAAUCUUUGCUUUUGACGUAGGAGGUGAACAUCUUCUUCUCCCCCGUCAUGUGGUUUGUGCAUCCGCUGUCGAUGAUCCAACUUGAGCCCCCGGAUGCAUAAACCUGCAAGGCAAUUUAGGCUUGGGUCUUAGGUACCCAACUCUUGUUGGGUCCUACAAGGUUAGAUACAAUAGUCUUUGGGACCCAAAUGCAAGUUUUGUCUCCCUUGCACUUGGCCCCCACCUUCCUAAAAACCACUUUCUUAUUUUUAUAUGAAAGUACAAAAUCAGUGUUGCAGGCAUGAAAAACAGUAGCAGAUUCAUUUUGCAUUUUCCUAGGCAUAUGAUGAACAACAUUUUUUCUAGGCAUAUUUCUACUAUGCACAAAGGAAGAACUUGAAACAAUCAUGGUAUGUGAAUCAUAAGCAUGAGCAUUCCUAGAAAAUUUUCUAUCAUAAAUAAAUGUAUGAUUCUUUUGACUACUACUAGCCAUAGGAGCCUUCCCUUUCUCCUUGUUGAGAAUGGGAGCCCUUUGACUUGUUAAGUUCUUGGCUUCCCUUCGAAAGCCGAGCCCAUCCUUAAUUGAGGGAUGUCUACCAAUGGUGUAGGCAUCCCUAGCAAAUUUUAAUUUGUCAAAGUCAUCUUUGCAAGUCUUAAGUUGGGCAUUAAGACUUGCUACUUCAUCAUUAAGUUUUGUAAUAGAAGUAAGGUGCUCAACACAUGCAUCAACAUUGAAGUCCUUACACCUAUUACAAAUCACAACGUGCUCUACACAAGAACUAGAUUUAUUUACUACUUCUAGCUUAGCAUUUAAUUCAUCAUUCAAGAUCUUCAAGCUAGAAAUAGAUUCAUUGCAAGUAGAUAACUCAGAAGCUAGUAAUUCAUUCCUUUUAAUCUCUAAGGCAAGAUACUUUUGAACACUAAUAAAUUUGUCAUGUUCCUCAUACAAAAUGUCAUCUUGCCUCUCUAGCAGUCUAUCUUUUUCAUUCAAGGCAUCAAUCAAUUCAUUAAUCUUUUCUACUUUAGCUCUAUCUAAUCCUUUGAACAAGCUAGUGUAGUCUACUUCAUCAUCACUAGAGUCCUCAUCACUAGAAGUAGAGUACUUAGGAGUUUCUUGAGCGUUUACCUUCUUCUCCUUUGCCAUUAGGCAAGUAUGGCGCUCGUUGGGGAAGAGCGACGAUUUGUUGAAGGCUGAGGCGGCGAGUCCUUCGUCGUCGGAGUCGGAUGAAGAACAAUCCGAGUCCUACUCUUUGCCAAGAUGCGCUUCGCCCUUCGCCUUCUUGUAGGCCUUCUUUUUCUCCCUCUUCCCAUUCCUUUCUUGUUCCUGGUCAUUUGUAUUAUCGGGACAUUGAGCAAUAAAAUGACAUGUCUUACCGCACUUGAAGCAGGAACGCUUUCCCUUUGCCUUGUUGUUGUUUGAGUACUCCUUGCGUCCCUUCAAUGCGGUCUUGAAACGCUUGAUAAUGAGGGCCAUUUCAUCCUCGUUUAGCCUGGCCACCUCAACUUGCGCCACCUUGCUAGGUAGCGCCUCCCUGCUACUUGUUGCUUUGAGAGCAACUGUUUGAGGCUCGUAGAUGGGCAUUGGACCAUUCAAUGCCUCAUCAACUUAUCUUGCUUCCCUAAUCAUAAUACGCCCGCUUAUAAACUUUCCGAGUAUUUCCUCAGGUGUCAUCUUGGUGUACCUAGGAUUCUCACAGAUUGAGUUCACAAGAUGAGGAUCAAGUACAGUGAAGGACCUGAGCAUAAGUCGGACGACGUCGUGGUCCGUCCAUCUCGUGCUUCCAUAGCUCCUGAUUUUGUUGACCAGGGUCUUGAGCCUGUUGUACGUUUGCAUUGGCUCCUCUCCCCUGAUCAUUGCGAACCUUCCCAGUUCGCCUUCCACCAACUCCAUCUUGGCGAUCAUGGUGGCAUCGUUCCCCUCAUGAGAAAUCUUGAGGGUGUCCCAAAUUUGCUUGGCGUUAUCCAAGCCGCUCACCUUAUGGUACUCGUCCCUGCAUAAGGAUGCUAGCAAAACAGUGGUAGCUUGUGCAUUUUUAUGGAUUUGCUCAUUGAUGAAAAUGGGGUUGUCAGUAUUAUCAAAAAGCAUUCUGUUUUCAACAAUCUCCCAAAUACUUGGAUGGAGAGAGAAUAAGUGACUACGCAUUUUGUGACUCCAAAAUGAGUAGUCUUCUCCAUCAAAGUGUGGAGGUUUCCCAAGUGGAAUUGAAAGUAAAUGAGCACUAGAGUUAACCGGAAUACGAGAAUAAUCAAAAGAAAAGUUUGAAUUAACCGGUUUCUUUUUCUCGUCGUCGUCGUCUCUUGGGGAAGAAGAGGACUCGUCGCUGUCGUAGUAGACGAUCUUCUUGAUGCGCCUCUUCUUCUUCCCGUCUCUUUUCUUAUGACUCGAGCCAGAGUUAGAAGGUUUAUCAUCUCUUGGCUCGUUGACGAUGGACUCCUUUGUCUUGUCGUUGACCACCAUCCCCUUUCCCUUAGGAUCCAUCUCUUCGGGCGAUUAGUCCCUUGCGUGAAGAGAACGGCUUCGAUACCAAUUGAGAGCACAUAGAGGGGGGGGGGUGAAUAGGUGAUCCUAUAAAAACUUAAACUUAUAGCCACAAAACUUGGUUAAGUGUUAGCACAAUGAAAUUAAGUGGCUAAGGACCGAGCUCUUGAAAAACACAAUCGUCACAAAGAAAACAAGCACAAGAGACACGAUGAUUUAUCCCGUGGUUUGGCCAAGUAUAACACUUGCCUACUCCACGUUGUGGCGUCCUAAUGGAUGAGGGUUGCACUCAACCCCUUUCAAGUGAUACAAUGAUCCACUUGAAUACCACGGUUGUUUUCUUUCUUAUACUCUUUCCCGUUUGCGAAGAAUCUCCACAAUUUGGAGUCUCUCGCCCUUACAACAAAGAUCAAAGUGAAAGCACUAGAGUAAGGGAGGGAAGCAACACACACAAAUCCGCAGCAAUACGCACACACACAGCCAAGACUUGAGCUUGAAUGAAUCGCAACAAGUUCACCACUAGAACGGAGCUCAAAUCACUAAGAAAGUCAAUCAAGUGCGCGGAGACGAAGUGUGAAAGAUUUAGAAUGCUCAAAGUAUGCUUGGGUGUCUCCUCCAUGCGCCUAGGGGUCCCUUUUAUAGCCCCAAGGCAGCUAGAAGCCGUUGGAGGCAUUCUUGGAAGGCAAUUCUUGCCUUCUAUCGGGUGGCGCACCGGACAGUCCGGUGCACCACCAGACAGCCACUGUAGCAUGUCCGGUGCGGAUCUCCUUCCAUUCCUGGCGCAGCCGACCGUUGGAUCUUCGGGCUGGUUGGCGCACCGGACACUGUCUGGUGCACACCGGACAGUCCGGUGCCCCCAGCCAACCGUUGGCUGGGGCCACGCGACGCGCGCGGAUUGCGAGGCCGACCGUUGCGCUGGCGGCCGUUGGCUCACCGGACAGUCCGGUGCACCACCGAACAGUCCGAUGAAUUAUAGCCGUACGCCGCCGACAAAUUCUCGAGAGUGGCCAGUUCGCCAGAGCCCAGCCUGGUGCACCAGACACUGUCCGGUGCACCGCCGGACAGUCCUGUGCACCCAGACUGAGCAGCAGUUGGCCAACUCUUUUCCAAUCCUUUUCUUUUCUUGAUUCUAGCACUUAGACAAAUAUAUUAGUACACACAAACCAAUGUACUAAGUCUAGAACCAUACCUUCUUGUCGAUUUGCACUUCAUCCAUCAAUUUGGCAUAUAAUUACUCACUCAAUAUGUGUUGGGCACUUAAUCACCAAAAUAUACUAUAAAUGGCCCAAGGGCACAUUUUCCUUUCAGAGAUGAUCAGUGCAAACAACAUGACUAAUUGAUUUUUUACCUUUUUCCUUGUUCAUGUUGAUUGCUUCAUUUAUUGCUUUAGGAACAUCCUUCUUAUUGAGUUUAACACUUACUGCGGUUUCUCCCGUGUCAAGCUUCUUCACCAUGCGUCCAUGUAUAUCUUGAGUUGGUUGAGCAAUGCGUCUUCUCCUUAGUUGUUUUGCUUUCUUGUUCCUUUCUUUAUUGAUGAGCAACUUUUCUUUUGAUCCUGCAGCUUGAUGCUCAUUCAAAAAUUGGCUUUCUUUUGAGCAACAUGGGUUAGCACAUGGUGAUAUAUUAUCUAAAUGCGCACGUGUGCAAGAAUGGGGUUCACAUGAAUUUAUGUUCGCAAUUACAACCUCAUGAGCAACAUCAAGCAUGAUAUGUCUAUCCAAAAGAUUAUCAUGAUAAUAAGACAACACAUCAUAUUUUUCAGUAAGAGCAAGUUUAUCAUGACUUAGCAAUUCUACUUGCCUCUCAAGCAUGGCAUUUUCAAUUUUAAGUUGAGCAACACAAGAUAAAGCAUCAUCAUUAUUUCUUUGCUCAAUUAAAACUGAAUCAUACCGUUGGACCAAAUCAUCAUGAGAGCACCUUAGCUCCUCAUGUUCUUUGGUCAUCUUCUCCAGGCUGUUGUUGGUUUUGAUGAGAGUCUCUUCCAGCCUGAGAAGCAUCUCGCCUUGUUCCUUGUUUCUCCUCAAUAGCUUAACCAAGAGCACUUUGUCUUCUUUGUUGAGAUGGGUGUAGAACCGGUGAAUCUCCUCUUCUUCCACACCGUCGGUCUCAUUUUCCCUGUCAUUAUUAUUAGUGGAAGCAAUACAGGAAAAUGUAUCUUGUGGUGAUGAAGACUCAUCCUCGCUAUCAUCCUCAUAUUCCUCCUCAUCAUCGCUUUUGUCUCCACUAUCAUUGUUAGCAAUAAGACAUUUAUAACUAGUGGAAGACACGCCUGUCAGUGAGGUGGAUUCAUCAUUUGGUUUCCAUCGUUUUUCUUCUCCCUUCGAAAGGUUAGUACCACAAGCAACAUAGGGAGUAGAAGUAGUACAAUUGGACUCAGAAUAUUUUAUUUUAAUUCUAGUCCAUAGAUCAUGAGCAUCGACAAGAACAUCACUAUUACUAUCUAUGACAGCAAAAUAAACGUCCUUGCUAAGGGAAUUGACUAGGAUGUCAUAGGCUUGAUAAUUUUGACGCAAACAUCUUAGAUCAUGCUCAGAUGGAUUUUUCAUAUCAAUAUUAAUGGGCAAAACACUAGCAUCAAAUAUUUGCUCUACUUCAGGACCGAAACUCCUAAAAGUAUUAUAUAAAUGAAAAGACCAGGAUGCAUAGUUAGAGCCAUCAGAAUUAAGAAGUUCUACAGUUACCUCUUGUGACGACAUCAUCAUCUCCGGACGGCUAUGCCCACACUGGAGAGGCCUAGCUCUGAUACCAAUUGAAAGUUCCCUAUGCCUGGGAAUAGGAUCUGGAUGUCCCCUAGAGUGAGGUGAAUAGGCGAAUAAUUAUUAUUACUCUAUAACUGAAAAUUCUUACUCUACUCGAAGGCUGGAUCACAAUGGAAUGAAAGACCCUUUGAGUAGGUUGCAGCGGAAUUGAAGUUCCUGUCUUAAAAUACCCUGCACUUCGAAGACAGCUUGUACCACAUAUAAGUAUUGAAGUGCAAGUAUAAAAAGCAAAUAAGACAGAGAAACAACACACAACAUAGAGCAGAGCACACAGACACAGGGAUUAUCCCGAGGUUCGGCCAAGCCUGAAAUGCUUGCCUAGUCCUCGUUGGAGUUAGCCACACCUUGGCUUGGAGUCUAUUUCAACUCCUUCCUCCAUUUGCUCAAAUCUGUCAGUGCGACAGAUAGAGCCUUCCACUAUGUUGAUAUCAGUUACAACGAUGUCGUGGCUGCUUACAAUCUUCUCGACAACACUCCAGCAAAGUAACAAUGCACCCAAUAUUUUGCUCUAGCUCUCAGCAGCACUUCCCUUCUCUCUAACGGCUUAUAACUUCGCCUCUACACAAACUAGAGAGAUACACAAGAGAGAGAGAGAGAGAGGAUUGAUCCAAAUGAUGUAUGGACUUGUUGGCUGCUCUUGUGUACUUGUUGGAGGCGCCUAGGGUCCCUUUUAUAGUCCAAAAUGGCCUAGGAGCCGUUGGAGCUUCAUUUGGAAGCUCCCAGCCUUCCCUGUUUGCGAGUGCACCGGACAGUGCACAGUAACGGAUCUGAUUGACAGUUUCCUUCUCUGUCCUGUGCACAGGACAGGUUACUAUUCACUUUCCUGUGCACCGGACAUGUUACUAUUCACUGUCCUGUGCACCAGAUAGGUUACUAUUCACUGUCUUGUGCACCGGACAGGUAAUUAUUCACUGUCCUGUGCACCGGACAAAGUAACUAUUCUUUGUCAUGUGCACUGGACAAAGUAUCUAUUCACUAGCCUAUGCACCAAACAUGUUACUAUUCACUGUCCUGUGCACCAGCCAGUUACUAUUCAUUGUCCUGUGCACCAGCCAACAACACACUAAGUGUUUUUUCCUCCAUUCUUUCUCUGUUUGACUUCAACUUUUGGGAGGAUUUUCCUGAGACUUAAACAAACAAAUUUAGAGUAUAAUCCAAUUGACUUAGUCCUAUAAACUUACCUCUUUCUUGUUGUUCUCCUAGCUUUUCUGUUUCUCCUCAAGCAUAGCUCAGAAUGGCACUUUCUCUACAGAAAGAGUUAGAGAGCAAACAAAAGCACCAAACUUGUAGUAAGAGGUGUAUGCAACAUGGUUGAACACUUAAACCUUACAUACUUAACAUUUUUCAUCAUUUUACCUAAUUUGGCAUGUUUGAGGUCGAUGUUGGACUCUAAACCAUCAAGUCAACUUGACUUGAUCUAGAUUGACAUAUCUGAGCUCCAACUCCCUUGUUCACAUCUCGAGCUUGAUCUUGACCCUUAUGACUUACACCACAUAACUGUAGAUGUUACCUCAUUGGUUGUAAGUGAUGUCCUUAUGUAGUGAUCCUUGAUGCACCAUAACUCUUCUUAACUCGAUCAACCUUGACUUUGCAAGUCUUCUUCUUCACCCUUGUCUUUGGGUUCGUGGUCUCCUUGACCUUCUCCCGUGCACUCGGUACCUCGAAGCUCUUCUUGCUUCCAUCCUUGGCUUGAUCGGUUGUCUCCGAGUUAUGCACAUCGAGUCUCACUUAAGCAAUGUCCAUCUUACUUGUGAUGUCCAUUAUCUAUAGAUAAUCCAGUCUUUGGACCAUCACACUUGUUCACUUGUGUUGAACCCUUGUAGCUUUUGAUUAAGCACCUAUUCAACAGUUAGCACACUUGUAAGUCCUAUAAUUGGGUUGUCAUCCAAACCACCAAAACUCACAAGAGAGCUUUCACCUAUAAAUUCCAAGUCGUUGCUUCUCUCUACUCCAUCCAGUUCGAACUUUGACGGGAAAAAUUAGAUGCGUCGGGUCACCAUUGAGCCAUAGCCUCGCGCCACCGCCCAAGCUUCACAUCGAUCGUCGUCCUUACUCGGUACCUCGCCUGGUGGGUGUAACACCACUGGUGUUACUGUUACUAAAACUUGAGCAUAAUAUCAUGAGCAUUGGCAUAUCAUGUGCUUGUUACACGUAGAGUGCAUUCACUAGGUAAAAAUUUCAAACAAGUUGUAAUGAUAUGACUUGAUAUGUGAUUAACCCUAUGGUAGAGUGCUUAACCCUAAAUUAGGGCUUAUGGGUGAAAGUGAAUCCCAAAUAAGUUAAAACCUCAAAAGACAUGAGAAAUGAUCAUAAGGUAUCAGCUUUGAUGGACUUUGGUGGCACCAAAACCCUAAUGUGCCUGAAACGCUAAAAACAAACCCUAGAAACCCUAAUUGAAACCCUAGGGGUUAUGCGGUGGAACCGCCCGAAUUAUUCCAGCUUAAGUGCCUAAGUCACGCCUCAGGGGCCGUAACACACUUAAAUCGGAAUAACCCUUCAGUCCCUCUGAUCUAGUCUGAUAAAGCCACUUAACCAGGAUCAAAUACCACACACUCACUCAAAGGUGAGUCACAGAAGAAAUACAAUAAAACAGGAAAACCUCAAAUUAAAGUACCGAGUUAUUACAUAAAUCAGAGUUUUCCAAGUAGUUGGUAAAAGUUCACAAAAUAAAAUGCAGCGGAUAAUCGAUAUCGUCGGUAGCGAGGAAUUGGGCAAGGCCUAGCCCACUACUCCUCCUGCUCCUCUCCUGCUGGAGCAGCAUCCCACUCGACCGUCCAACCCGGUGGCAGGGUUGUAGGCCAAGUCACACCAUCAACCAUAUCCUGAAGCGUACCUGCAAAAAUUAUGCCACAAGAAAGGCUGAGUAUACUAAUACUCAGCUAGACUUACCCGGUGUGAGGAAACUACUCCUCUACCUCCAGACCAUGCAGUUGUUUGGCUGAGGGGUUUGAUUUGCCAAAAGCACUAGCUGAGUCUAAAAUCAAUUUUUAGCUUUUCAAAUUCUAGCAUCAUUAUCUUAGCUAAGUUUGCUCCUUCUAAGCAUACAUGGUAGCAAGCAUUUAGUACAAUCAAUAAGUUAUCUCAUGUAAACCUCAUUUCACUUCUUACUCAAUGUAGUACAAGGGGUCAAGCAGUCUCAUUAGCUGCGAGAAGCAGACGAUUCGAAUCGAGUUUUUAAACCUUGCAAGGUAAACCUAAACACGCGACAUGUCAGGGCACUCCGUCCCCACACACGUCAACCGUCCACAUCGAUUCCCCGUUCGCGGCCAGGGCUCACCGCCUUGGCAUACAAUGCUCCACUGACCCCGGCUGCCGUCGUGCAGUGACCGCACUUGUACCCACCAUAACUAGCAUGGGAGACCCAGUCUCAGGUCACGGAGGAGAAAAGUCCACGCCCGGCUUCACUCAGGUACUAGGUUUACCGUUUACCAUAUUUCCCGACAUGUGUUUAGUACGUUCAAACGCUUGACUCAGGUAUCCACACAUUAAUCCUUAAUUCCUUUUCCCGUCUCAUGGACAAGGCAUUCUCCCAAGAUCCAAGUCCAUAGACUAUCAUAGAGCCCGUUAUCAAGAUGAAUACAAUCAAUUCCUGACCUCGCGCGAGUGCUAGAAAAAUCACUUGACUUCUACCGAGAUCCUGAUUAGCAUAGCAGCUACUCGACCUAGCAUACUAGUAUCCAUCUCAAAAAGGAAUCCUGAGUUCAUGCAACUAAAGGUUUCAAGCAACUCCUACACUUAAGUGCACAUUACAAGCCUACAAACAUUUAAGUAUAGUAAGGUAGCAUAUAUAUAUACGGUUAUGCAUAAAACCGGGGCUUGCCUUCGAAUGCUGGGGCUGCGGGGAGAUCCUCGAUGGCAGUCUCGGGAGCUUGCUCCUGGUCUUCCUCGUGGACAGCUCCUUGCUCGGGGAUGAGCACGUACUCUCCAUCAGCGAGAUUGCAAUCUAAUGAAUGCAAUGAGUAAGAUAUAUGCAUGGCAUGAUAUGCAAUUUUGCAAUUAAAAUUUGAUGGGGGAUGAUCAAUUUAAUAAGGUAGAGCUUAAUCUUGCUACUGAAGGUUUUUUGGCACACUUUAGCAAAUUAGGGUUAAGUUUGGUUAAGAUAAUUGUUAAGUUCAUUUUGGUGUUCCACUGAUUUCUUUUUACUGUCUUAGUGGGAGUUUAUUAAGAUUUCUAGCUGAAUUCAUUGGAGUGAGAUUUAUUAUUCCCUCUCUUCUUUUCUAUUUCUUUUGUGCUUUUAAGGUGGGUUUGAACUACAAGAUAGCUUAAUAAAUUUCCAAAAAUUCUGAAAAAAAUACAGUGGCUUCUUACUGGUGUAUAAGUCUCUAUCUCAAAAUUUGGGGCUUAAAAAGUGAGUGGUUCUCUCUGUAUAAAAUUAUCAAAUAUUAGGGCAGAGGCGUGUUUUGAACUACAACCUUCUUUUAACAGGGGUUAUUGUCCAAGACUUAUUUUUGCUGACAUUUAAGUGUUAUAAAUGACUUUGUGCAAAUUUUCAGCCACUAAUACUCAUUAGUUAUUUUAUUAUGAUUUUCCAAAGUUUCUAGCCAUAGGGGUGCUUUCUACUACCAUUAUAUUUGAAAAAUAUCAAACAACAGAUUUCUAAUUUUUCCUAUCUUCUUCUUUGUGCAAGAGCAAUCAUUUUGAAAAUUGGUAGCUUUUUGCAUAAGGGAAAGGUGGUAGGAAUUUCUUGAACUAAAUGGUCUUUUUCAUGAAGUAUUGGCAAUGAGUAUUAUUUGUAGCUUUCAAUUGGGUUUGCAUUUUUCUCUGGUGGUCUACUUCAUUAUUAAUGUUGGGGUUGUGCUUCGGUACGCCGAAGGUCUCACACGAAGAAGCAGCUUCGGCCAAAGUCGUUUCUAAGAGAUGGCCGAAGGUCCCUUUUCAUGGAGCUUCGGCGUUUUAAACCGACAUAGAGGCAGAAUGACCUUUUUAUACAUGUAUGUCCGAGUCAAUGUUGUAAACUUCCGCAAGGGGCAUAAUUGUAAUUUGUCACAGGCUGCGACCUGUGUCUAUAAAUAGAUGAACAGUACCUCUGUACUGUUCACGCGAACCUGCUUUUUGCCUUCGCAUCACAUUCGCACUUUUUGCCUUCCGCAAGACCGAAGGUACAUUUGUACUUCAAAGUCAUUUAUAUUCAUUAAUACAAGUAGAGAUAAUUCUAUGAUAAUAUUUACAUGUUUAUUUCAUGAUUUAUGUGAAUGCUUUAUUCUUCAUUGUUAUGCUUACAAAGGUAUGUUCUUUGUAACCUUCGUCCGAGAUGCUAUAUAUCCCGAAGGGAUAUAUCGUCAUGAAGGACGAAGGACCUUAAUACUUAACAUUUUCCGUGUUGCCUUGUUCUUAAUUCGAAGCAUUUGAGAACAAGUCCCCAACAUUGGCGCCCACCUCCGGUCAACUCACUUCCACAUUUCUGAGCUGAUGGCUUCGUUCAACACUCAAGCUGGAGCUGCUUCGGCUUCGAAGCUGGUGCUCCCGAUAACAGGCGGUUCUUGCUCAGAGCCAGCUAACAAAAAGCAGAAGAAGGAGGCUCAGAGAAGGGUGCAGCAUGUUGGAGUGCAGGGACCCUUCAUUAAGUCAAAAUGGUCUCACAUUCCAAUUACCUUCUCUCAGGAAGAUCUUCAGCUCAAGGACUAUCCUCACAAUGAUGCUAUGGUCAUUUCUUGUGUGAUCAAAGGGUUUCUGGUUCACAAUGUCCUAGUUGACACAGGCAGUGCAGCUGACAUUAUAUUUGCCAAAGCCUUCAGACAGAUGCAAGAGCCUGAAGACAAGAUUCAUGAUGCUACGCACCCUCUUUGUGGCUUCGGAGGGCGGCAGAUUGUGGCACUCGGGAAGAUUACCAUGCCGGUAACCUUCGGAUUUGUUAAUAACACAAGGACUGAGCAAAUUGUGUUUGAUAUUGUUGACAUGGAAUACCCCUACAACGCCAUCAUUGGUCGUGGUACCCUAAAUGCUUUUGAAGCAAUUCUUCAUCCAGCUUAUCUCUGCAUGAAGAUACCUUCGGACCAAGGGCCUAUUGCUAUUCAUGGGAGUCAGGAAGCUGCCAGAAGGGCCGAAGGAAGCUGGACUGAUUCCAAGGCAAUCCAUAAUAUAGAUGGAGUUGAAGCUUGUGAACAGUACAAGUUCAGGAGGGAAAAAGCAGCUUCGGCUGAUCAGCCGAAGCCCAUGCUGCUGUGUGAGGAUAUAGCAGAGCAGAAGGUGCUAUUGGGCUCGCAAUUAUCUGAAGAUCAAGAGAAAACCUUGAUAAGGUUUUUAUUCAACAAUAAAGAUGUUUUUGCAUGGUCAGCCAAUGAUCUUUGUGGAGUGAAUCGGGAUGUUAUUGAACAUUCGCUCAAUGUUGACCCAUCCUUCAGACCCCGCAAGCAGAGGCUUCGGAAAAUGUCUGAUGACAAGGCCGAAGGGGCUCGCAACGAAGUAAAAAGACUCCUAAGUGCAGGAGUUAUCAGAGAAGUGAAGUAUCCAGAAUGGCUAGCUAACACUGUUAUGGUGAAGAAGGCCAAUGGAAAGUGGAGAAUGUGUAUUGAUUUCACAGAUCUCAACAAGGCUUGUCCGAAGGAUGAGUUCCCGCUGCCAAGGAUAGACUCUUUAGUUGAUGCAGCAGCUUCUUCGGAACUCAUGAGUCUCCUGGAUUGUUACUCAGGCUAUCAUCAAAUCUGGAUGAAAAAGGAGGAUGAGCCGAAGACUAGUUUCAUAACCCCAAGUGGUACAUAUUGCUAUCUUCGGAUGCCUGAGGGGCUUAAGAAUGCUGGAGGGAGUUUCAGCAGGAUGACUGCGAAGGUUCUCCAAUCUCAGAUAGGCAGAAAUGUGUUGACCUAUGUUGAUGACAUUAUUGUAAAAAGCACGAAGCAAGAAGACCAUAUUGCUGAUCUGCAGGAGACCUUCGCCAGCUUCAGACAAGCUGGUCUGAAGCUGAAUCCAGAAAAAUGUGUCUUCGGAGUAAAGAAGGGUAAGUUCCUUGGAUGCUUGGUUUCAACAAAGGGAAUUGAAGCUAACCCAAAUAAAAUCGAAGCUAUACUUCGAAUGGAGCCACCAACCACAAGAAAGGGGGCCCAAAGAUUGACAGGAAGACUGGCAUCUCUUAACAGAUUUAUAUCCAGAUCAGCGGAAAGAAAUCUACCCUUCUUCGAGGUGCUAAAAUCAGCUGAAGUCUUUCAAUGGGGCCCAGCUCAACAAAAAGCUUUCGAAGAACUCAAGCAAUACCUGAUAGAUCUAACAACAUUAACUCCACCAAUGCCAGGGGCUCCUCUGUUGUUGUAUGUGGCAGCUUCGCACUCAGCAGUAAGUGCGGCACUUGUGCAGGAGAAGUUUGAUGGACAAAUCAAGAAGCAGGUCCCAGUAUAUUUUGUAUCUGAGGUCCUUAGUGUCUCAAAGAAAAAUUAUACAGAACUGGAGAAGGUGUUGUAUGCCGUUCUAAUGGCAUCCAGGAAGCUUCGGCAUUAUUUUCAGACAUAUAAUAUUAUUGUUCCUUCUUCGCAGCCGUUGAAAGAUAUCAUGAGAAAUAAAGAAGCUACUGGCCGAAUUGGAAAAUGGGCUGCGGAGCUUAAUGAAUUUUACAUUGAUUAUGUGCACAGAUCCUCGAUCCAGUCUCAAGCAUUGGCAGAUUUUAUUGCCGACUGGACGCCAGGGGCUCAGGGCGAAGAAGCGAAUAAAGAUGCCGAAGCAUGGACAGUGUUUUGUGAUGGCUCCUGGGGAACCUUCGGAGCAGGAGCAGCUGCUGUUUUGGUUUCACCGUCCAAGGUUAAAACUUGCUAUGCAGCAAGACUGGACUUCAGCUGCACAAAUAAUAUUGCUGAGUACGAAGCCUUGCUCCUGGGUCUUCGGAAACUAAAGGCGAUGGGGAUCAGGAGAGCGAUCCUUAAAACUGAUUCUCAGAUUGUUUCGGGUCAUAUUGACAAAAGUUGCAAGGCUAAAGACCCGAAGCUUGAAAAAUACCUAGACACAGUCCGAAGGAUCGAAGCUUCCUUCGAAGGAUUUUCUGUUAAGAAUAUCCCUCGAGGGCAAAAUGAACAUGCUGAUUUGUUAGCCAGGUCUGCAGCACAGGGGCUGCCGCUACCUUCGGAUGUAUUCUUCGAAACAAUAAAGGCACCUUCAGUAGAGUUACUUGAAAGAGCAGUUCUUACUAUUUCUCCUGUGUACAGUGAAGAUUGGAGAACUGAAAUAAUUUCUUACCUUCAGGGCAACUUCCUAUCAGAUGACGAAGCUUAUAAUAAAAGAAUAGAGGCAAGAGCUCGUCCGUAUAUCAUUAUAGAAGGGGAGUUAUACAAGCAUGGAGUUUGUGCCCCGCUGCUCAAGUGCUUGUCUAGAGCUGAAGGUAUAGAGUUGAUGAAGGAGAUACAUGCAGGCCUUUGUGGAUCCCACAUCGGAUCCAGGCCGUUACUUGGAAAAGUGUUCCGUCAAGGAUUUUAUUGGCCGAAGGCAGCUUCGGAUGCAGCUGAGUUAGUUCAAAAGUGCGAAGGUUGUCAGAAAUGUGCAAGAGAUCAAAAACAACCUUCGUCUUUGACACAGCUAAUACAACCCAUCUGGCCAUUGCAAAGGUGGGGCCUCGAUUUGCUGGGCCCAUUACCACCGGCUCAAGGCAAUCUGAAAUAUGUUGUAGUUGCUGUGGAAUAUUUUUCCAAGUGGAUUGAGGCGAAGCCAUUAGCUACAAUAACUUCGGCCACUGUCCAAAAAUUUUUCUGGCAGAAUAUUGUCUGUCGCUUCGGAGUGCCGAAGGCUAUAACUGUAGAUAAUGGAACACAAUUUGACUCCGAAGAAUUCAGAAAUUUUUGUGAUCAAAUUGGCACGAAGAUCCACUUUGCGUCAGUCAGGCACCCGGAGUCGAAUGGGCUUGUUGAAAGGGCCAACGGCAUCAUAAUGACAGGAAUAAUGAAGCUAAUCUUUAAUCAACCAAGGGGAAAGUGGCCAGAUCAGCUUACCAAAGUGGUAUGGAGCCAUAACACAACAACAUCAAGAUCUACAGGCUUUACCCCAUUUAAGUUGUUAUUUGGUGACGAAGCAAUAACCCCGGAAGAAGCCAAAGCUGGAUCAAUAAGAGUGGUAGCUUCGGCAGAAUCAGGUCCCGAAGAUACUUGUCUCGUGGAAAAAGAUGCCUUAGAAGGGAUCAGGCUUCAGGCCGUGGAGAAUAUCAAUAAGUACCAGGCUGAAACAGUUAAAUGGCGAGAUAGAAAGGUCCGGCUAAAAAAUAUUGAGCCAGGACACUUGGUGCUUCGGAGAGUGGCCAAUCCGGAUACAGUGGGCAAAUUGCAACUGAAAUGGGAAGGGCCUUUCUUAGUAGCAUCUUCGUCAAGGCCUGGUUCGUACAGACUGAAGGACAUGGAUGGCAAUGAAAUUCCAAGAUCUUGGAAUGCGGAUGAGCUUCGGCGGUUUUAUGCAUAACUCGAUGUAAUUUUGACUUUUCUUUUCUUUUUCAUGGCACCCUUUUCCUUUCUAAAGGGGGAGAAAGGUUUUUAAUGGGGCCAUCAUAUGUAAUUUCCUUUUUAGUUUUAUAAGAGCAAAAUCCCCCAAAGAAUGUAAAUGUAAAAGCUGAGAGCGCACCAUCGAGUGCCGAAACUAAAAAAGAGAAGAAGCUCCAAAGACGUCCCUAAGGGGAUGCAGAGCUCACAGCGAAAAGUCAACGCUGAUUCCGCCAAAAGUAAAAGGCGAAGAAGCUCCAAAGUCGUUCCUAAGGGAAUGCAGAGCUUAUACCGUCUAAGUAAAAGACGAAGAAGCUCCAAAGACGUCCCUAGGGGGAUGCAGAGCUUACAGCGAAAAGUCAACGCUGAUACUGCCUAAGUAAAAGGCAAAGAUGCUCCAAAGUCGUUCCUAAGGGAAUGCAGAGCUGACGUGUGUUUGCUCCUAAGAAAAUGAUGGAUGAGUGUGGCUUCGGACAUACGCUUCGGACAUUCAUUUGCACAUUACAUCAUGGCAUUUGCAUGCAUAAGCAUUCAUUCAUAGCAUUUGUGUUCCUAAAUGGUUGCUUCGGCACAGAGAAAAGUUUCGGAUAAAUGGUUUGUUAUGAUUCGUUAUGUAAAAGAAAGGUUUCGAAGAAGUGGUUUUUUAUGAAUCGUUGUGUAUAAGAGUAGCAGUCUUUUAUGUUUUGUUAUGUAAAUAAAAGCUUCGGCAGAUAAGAGUAGCAGUCUUUUAUGUUUUGUUAUGUAAGGAAAGGCUUCGGCAAAAAGAGGAAGCGGCCUUUUAUGCUUCGUUGUGUACGAAAAGAAGGGAAGGUGUUUUUUCGCCUUCGGCUCAAAAAACUGAUUUCGUCCACAUCAAAGCACCUCAAUCGAAGGGUAAGAAUAUAUUACAAGGUAUGUACAAAGUUCCUUGAAGAACAGUUUAAUUCUAUUUACAAGAGUUGUUACAAAAUUAUCCUGAGUUUUUCUAAAGCACACUUCUGCUAGUCUUCAUUAAGCUUCAGCUUCGACGACAACUUCGGCGACAUAUCCUAGGCAUCAUCUUCACCUUCGUCAUCCUACAUGAGUCAAGGAAUCAUAAGAAUCAAGCCCAAAGGAAAAGGUAAGCACGAAAUGUCAUUUCUUACUGGUUCAAGAUGACUUCGGGCUUCGUCUCCAGCUUUCUCUCGCCCGCCCUUUGUCCAUACCAUUUUUAUAAAUCUAUUGGAGAUACUUCGGGCGAGGUCGGGCAUAUCAUCCAGGAUUGAUGAAGAUAAGGUGAAGUUGGGCCUGUUGACAACCUUUCCAUGUUCGCAGCCGGCCUUCAGAAAUGCAGCAGCGGUACCCCGAGAAGCUACCCAGGCACAGAAGUCGCCGUGCCCGGCUAUAACUUCGUCAAGCUCUUCGAUUUCAGCUUCAAUAUGAUCGAAGGCCUGGGGUAAAUUUUCCGCCGAAGGGUUAAAUUUCCCACUGCUGGCUCCAACAGAGUAAAAUAUCUUCUUUAAUCGUCCAAUACAAUUAUUGCCAAAGCUCAAGCAUUUGUCUUGAAGGCUUGUUAAUGCUUUCUUCAAUUCUGAGCUGGUCUGGACUUCGGCUUUAAGCUUCGAAUUCAGUUCUAGCUUCUCCUGAUCAAAUUGUUUUGAUUGAUUGAUAAGCUUCGAAUUUAACUCUAAUAUUUUAGCCUCAGUUUUAGCCAGCAAGCCUUCGGUCGAUUGGAGCUCGAAGUCUUUCUUUUCAAUAAUGGCAGAUUGCUCUUUUAUUUUGCUUUCCAAGUUUUCAAUUAUAGCUUCGUGCUUUUUGUCCUCCAAGUCUUGUUGCAUCUUCAGAGCUUUGCUCAGUAGCAUGCUCUGAACAGAAACAACUUAUGUUAAGUAAUAUUUUCAUUGUUAACGGCAAUAAAAACCAGAGAAAAAGGUUGUUUACCUUGAAGUUAGAAUAAAACAAGCUGCCGACGAUAUGUUGUCGUCGGUAGCGGCUGAUGUCUGUCUCUAACUUCGGAAAACCGAUACUCUUCGAUAGAGUACAGAUUACCUUAGCUCCAGUCUGGUCUCGAAUACAGCCUAGUUUUUCAUCAUCUACACCCCCAAAUAGAAGGGCUCCUGGCUUGUAGCCGCAAGAUUUGGCAUAGUCUUUGAGUUCUUCUAUUUCGUCCUUCGUCAGUUUCUGCCCAAUUAGAUUCUGGAAAGAAUAGGCUUCGUCGUCCGGAGUUUCUUCGAUUAUUUCUUUCCCUUUCCCUGGCACUGUGGCCAGGAUUUCUUCAGUAACGGUGGCAGCUUCUUCAAUGUUUUCCGUCAAAAUUUUGUCAAUAUUUUCAAGAGUAGUUUCUAAAUUUACAUCUUCGGGUGUGGCAGCUUCGGUAGCCGCGACUUCCGAAGCUCUACCUUCAGCAGCUGCCGUUUUCUGAAUUGACAACCUAGGUGGAGUUUUGUCGAUAACCUCAGUUACCGCAAUAAUUCUUUGCCGUUUGGGUUUGUUUAUCUUCGGUUGAUCCGGCUCGUCCACCUUUUCAAAAAGCUUCGUCAGUUGGAGCCCUAGUGGACUUAGCUUCGUAGGCAUGGGUUCAGUCAUUACCUUUAAAAUUUCCUCCACGUCGCUGGUAGAAGGCGGUGUGGGGGUCUCCUCUUCUUCGGGUGAUUUGCGCUUCGGAGCAGAUAUUUUUCUUUUCUUGAGAACUUUCUUCUCCUUUGCUGGUAUUUCUUCAUCCCUGAUCAGAGCUUCGGCUACUCUUUUUCUUUUGAGGCCCUCGGCGCCCUUGUUCAAUUGUUCGUAGUCUGGGUAUUCGAAGCCUAGGGCGUCAAGCACUCGGUUCAGCCUUCGUUUCGGUCGGGCACCGAAGGCUGCUGUCAUUAGUUGAUCCUCUUUUUUGGAGUAAUUCCCCAGGAUUUCGUUGCACAUUACCUCAAUAGUGUCUAACCAUUCUUUGCAGGGUUUUUUGAAGAACUUCUUGAACUUGAAGUAAUAGGGAAGCCGGACAAGCUCCCCCUUCUUCUUCUCUCCCUCCAGCUUCGGCAUCUCCCACUCUUUUAGAGUAGGGAAAACUCUGAAUGCCAAGAACUCUUGAACUAAAUCCCUGGUGCCAAUAUGUUCUGAGAUAAUUUCAAAUUCACCCAGAGCAGCCCAGGUGGGACCUUUUAGGUCGCCAAUGCGGCAUUGUGGCCUUGUCUCUCCGAAGUUUAACUCCAGAGGGCUUUGUACCAAUUUUUCUUUGUCUUCAUCGACUUUUACAUAAAACCACUCAGAUUUCCAACCUGCUGGCCAUUUGCUUCGGUAGCUGAUGACAGGACACUUUGUUGUCUUCCGGUAGGCAAAAUUAUAGCAACCGAAAUUAUCAUGUAGCCCAUCUUUUCUGGCCUUUGUUUGGUAAUGUAAUUCGUGAGCUCGGCAGAAGCUGUCAGCAAAUGGUUCCACAGCUUGGCUUCGGAGGGCCCAGAUAUAAACAUUGAGCCUAACGAUGGCGUUAGGAGUCAAUUGAUGAAAGUAGAUACCAAACCUCCUUAGUAUCUCCGCAACAAUAUCGUGGAGAGGGAAUCUAAGCCCAGCUUUUAAAAAACUCUUGAAAAUAACAAUCUCAUCCUUUCUUGGCUUCGGGGUGGUUUCUUCUUCCCCGAAGCGGAGUAGCUUCUUCUGGUCCUCAUUGAAAUAACCUGCUUUCACCAUCUUCGAAAGGUCAGCUUUUGAAACAGUUGAUUUCCCAAAUUCCAGGUGACUGGGCUUGCUGGGCAUAGCAAGGUGAUAGUCAUCUUCGGAGUCAGUCCCCUCAAUGUUUUCUUUUCCUUCGGCAGUUGUUGGGCCUGCUUCAGCAGCAGGCAUUUCUUCUGUAGUCAGUAGACCGGAACGCUGCAUUGCUUCGGAGAUGGGCACAGUGUCUGAACCUUCGGCUUCGUCUCCCUCACGUACAACUUUGGCAGUAGAUCGUAUUCUCGCCAUUUGAUUCUAAGUUUGGGAAGUCAAAAACUUUUUCCUUUUUUCUUUUCUCCGAAGCUCUUCUUUCUGACGAAGCGGACGUUGAGAAGCACCUUCGUUCGAUUCUGAGACUUAAGCUUCGCCUAUGGUGAAAAAUUUUGGCAGCGAAACAGUGCAAAUAGCAAUGAAUGCUGUGGUAACUUCACACCCACCUGUUUGUUUAUAUAGUGCUGCAGGUAGGAAGGCGAAGCGGUGGAACUGUUACACCAGGCGCGCAGUAACUCAUACCCGCUGUGCAGUGGACCGCAAAGACCAAACAGUAACUCUACAAAGUGGGCUUGGCACGCGCUCGGAAGUCGGAUCGUUUCUCCGCAACGAGCUCAGGGAAGGUGUUUUUUGGACCUUCGGCUUCCCGAAGCUGAAGAGGUUUUUUUUCACGGGCCAAGCUCGUUACGAAGAACGAUCUAGCACCGCGAAAGGGGCUACUGUUGGGGUUGUGCUUCGGUACGCCGAAGGUCUCACACGAAGAAGCAGCUUCGGCCAAAGUCGUUUCUAAGAGAUGGCCGAAGGUCCCUUUUCAUGGAGCUUCGGCGUUUUAAACCGACAUAGAGGCAGAAUGACCUUUUUAUACAUGUAUGUCCGAGUCAAUGUUGUAAACUUCCGCAAGGGGCAUAAUUGUAAUUUGUCACAGGCUGCGACCUGUGUCUAUAAAUAGAUGAACAGUACCUCUGUACUGUUCACGCGAACCUGCUUUUUGCCUUCGCAUCACAUUCGCACUUUUUGCCUUCCGCAAGACCGAAGGUACAUUUGUACUUCAAAGUCAUUUAUAUUCAUUAAUACAAGUAGAGAUAAUUCUAUGAUAAUAUUUACAUGUUUAUUUCAUGAUUUAUGUGAAUGCUUUAUUCUUCAUUGUUAUGCUUACAAAGGUAUGUUCUUUGUAACCUUCGUCCGAGAUGCUAUAUAUCCCGAAGGGAUAUAUCGUCAUGAAGGACGAAGGACCUUAAUACUUAACAUUUUCCGUGUUGCCUUGUUCUUAAUUCGAAGCAUUUGAGAACAAGUCCCCAACAAUUAAUUUGGUAAAAAUUUAUUUGCCCACUGUUGCACACUUUUUGGCUUGCUUAUGAUUUAAUUGAAAUAUGGCUUAAUAUCAAGCUUUAUUUGUUUACCCUACUUUAAAUGAUGGGCUGAGGUGUUUAUCAUUUUUGUAGUGGGGUCCUAGUGGUUACAAGUCCACUGGAUUUUUCUUAACAAUUUUGAAAUUGUUUUCAUAAUUCUAAUAAUUGUCUUUCUAGUUUGAUGAGUGCUUAAUAAAACAUUUCACCUUGAAUCUGUUCUGGACUAGGGCUCCCUUUAUUUUUCCUAGGUUUUCUAUUACUUAAGUGGUCUAGGAAAAAUAUUUGCAUUCAUUGCUCAUUAUUUUCUAAUACCUUUCUUAUUUUCUUAAGUUUUGGGCAAAAAUGGCUUUUAAUAGAUAACCCAACUCAAAUCUUCAAUACUGUGGUGUUCAAUAUUUUUAAACAGUGUCUAAGUGGGGUUUGAACUUUUACAAAUUUUCUUAAGUUAAGUACAGAAGCAUAACUAAUUUUCUUCCUUUUAAAAAGUUUUGGUCAGUGUCCUUAAUUAAUUUCAAACUCUAAAAUUUGAAACAGAAAGCAUAGGGUUCAGUAUUUUUAUGUGAUAGUUCAUAAUAUUUUGAAUCCAGAAAAAUUGGUUUGGCUAAAUUUGGUUGAAUAUAACUCAAGAUAUAAAUUUCCUAAGUUCUCUGCUGAGUUUAAAAAGAAUAACAGAAAAUGGAUAAAGGAAAAAGGGUUUUGCACUGGGUUCCCUCGCGAAAGGUUUUAAGUGUAUUAUAGAUAGGUCCCCGGUUCACUAUUCAUCUGAGUCUAUGACUCUGUAGAAAACCCCCUAGGGUUUCAUGAAAUCGAACCCGCGAUCCUUCCCAUAAUGGAACAGUGACCGCGGCGGAAGAAAAGGGCGGAGGGGCUUACCGGCGGCGAGGCUGCUCCGGUGAGGGGUCGGGUGAGGUCUGGGAGUCUCUGGCGAUCACGUCGAGGUACGGAUCGUCGGCUGCGGUGGUCGGAGUAGGUCGGUCCACGUGCGCAGGCGGGGGAGCUUGUCGGCGGCGAGGGAUCCGGCCUGCUCACGGCGCCAUAAUCCAAUUGAAUGGGUCAGGGAGCUUCACCAGAGGUCAAGGAAGAUAUGUGCACGAAGAAUUUGAUAAUGGCUCACCAGAUUGCUCGGUCUACGCGUGGCCACGGGCGACCGAAGUCCGACGAGGACGAUCUCGGGUCUCCGGUGAAGUUCUGCCGGGUCCAAGAGCUUGGAAAGGUCCACGGGCUAUUGGCGAAGCUAACCGAGUGGCUGGCGUGGCUUGGAAGUGACUGGAGGGAGCUGGCCAAGGUGGCCGAGGCUCGGGUGGUGAUGGCGGGCGGUGGCGCGGCGUGCUUGAGGCGAAGUCCGGUGAACUUGGCUCGGGCAGGACUUGAGAGCGCGCGGGGAGGUACGACCGAGGCCUGGGGCUGCUUUAUAGGCACGACGUGGUGCACGGGCGGUCGUGGACUGGCGAGCGCGCGCGGGCGUGCACUGUGGAUAGCGGGUGCGCGAACGGGCGUGAACCGGGCGUGUCAGCCAUGGUCGAACACGUGGAACCGUUGCUUCUGCCCGAGUUCUAACGCCAAUUGGGCGCAAAUCUUCGCGAAUUUGGGCAAUAUCGUUGUGAAGGAUUUGUUCCCCUGACUGUGCUUUGUCGUUUGUGUGUGGAUGUUGCGCGGUUUUAGGCUAGGGACAGAGAGUUGUAGCAUCACCAAGGUGCUAGUGUCAGAUAGUCGGGUCCCAAGGACAAACGGUGCCAAAACCGUGCCAAACGAUUUUGGUUUGAGUUUAAAUUUUUCCAGAGCAUGUUCAAGUAAAUUUGGCACCACUUUGAUAUUUGGACUUUUUGGUUUCGAGGUUUGGAAAAUAGGAACGCAUUUGAUCUUGAAAAAGGGUUCUGAAAUUCAGAAUUCUGAAUUCUGAAUUUCCCCAUGGGACCUUGUUUCAAGGGCUGAUUUGGGGAUUUUUAAAAACCCAAAUGUCAAAACCUUCUUACUAUAUUUUUUUGAUCAUUUAGUGUAGUAAAACUUUGUUAUUUGGUUCUUACCAAAAUUUUGUAUUUCUCCCAAGUCUUUUCCCAAAUUCCCUUUUAUGUGCUUAAUGGUUCACUUAGGAUUAAUUAGGGUUUGAGAGUUCUUCUUACCUUGAGGUUCAUGACAUGAUUAAGGAGAAUUCCUUAAGAUGAAAAAGACUCACUUUAAACCUUUG
Molecule: long non-coding RNA, 58166 nt
Filed under: Zea mays
Lineage: Eukaryota; Viridiplantae; Streptophyta; Magnoliopsida; Poales; Poaceae
Description: long non-coding RNA (ZMAY_LNC002545)
Source: RNAcentral